RNAcentral lists this long non-coding RNA (67279 nucleotides) under Marmota monax (woodchuck). The stretch from base 59628 to 59699 matches the Rfam family "tRNA". Lineage: Eukaryota; Metazoa; Chordata; Mammalia; Rodentia; Sciuridae. The record is from RNAcentral.
CUUGGCCAGAUCCUGGGUUUCAAAAGGCCAGCAGACUUGGCAGUAUUCAAAGCUGUGAUUUCUGUUUGAAACCCAGAGAUCAAAGCUGACCGUGGCCAUGGAGAACUCUUCCUACGGAGGAGUGGAGUCCAAAUGGCACAUUUAGACCUUCAUGAUACCAGGAGGAGGCUGCGUUCGCAUCUGGAGGUAGGGACAGGGCGCUUCUGGGGUGGGGGCUCAUUUGCCCAUCUGGUACUUUAUAUUGGAAAGUGAAAUGGUCGGACAUAAAGAAAAUAUUGUUCUUUUUUUGUAUACCAACAUUUUUCGGGAGUACGUACUGGGAAUUGAGCUGAGGGGCACUUGAACACUGAGCCCCAUCCCCAGCCCUUUUUUAUAUUUUAUGUAGAGACAGGGUCUCACUGAGUUGCUCAGGGCUUCGCUAAGUUGCUGAGGCUGGCUUUGAAUCUGCGAUCCUCCCACCUCAGCCUCCCGAGCUGUUGGGAUUACAGGCAUGCACAUUCACUUAUUUUGAUACAGGUGUGAUAUCACCUAAGAUACCUCUUGUCACUCAGUAAACUGGUUUCUUCAUUGGGAGAAAAAAAGUGUGUUUGUAUAACUUUGAGAGAAAGUACAGACAUUGAGCCAAGCUGAAAGGUCAACAUUUUGGCAACAAUUCUGUAUAUGUGCCUUUUGGAUCUUGUUUGAUUUGCUUUUGAAAUGGCGUCUCACCAUGUUGUCCAGGCUGGCCUUGAACUCCUGGGCUCAAGUGAGCCUCUUGGCUUCCAGGGUUCCCAGAACUACAGGCAUGUGCCACCAGGCCUGGCUCUGGAUUUGCCUCUUGGAACUGAGUAACAGAGUUGAUGUUUGCCAUCUCAGCCUCCCCUCCCUUCCCCCUCCCUCCCCUCCCCCUCCUUCCCUCCCCCUUUCCCUUCCCUCCCCUCCCCCCUCCUCUCUCCCAUUUCCUUCCCUCCUUCCUGGCAGCCCUUAUAUUCCAUUGGAGGAGACCUGUGGGACCAGGACCAGGAGGUGGCUUCUUCCAGGACAGGAGCAGGCAAGCCAGGAACUGCCAAGAAGCAUAUUCAGUCCCCUGGCCACCAUCCCGAUUGCUGGGCUGAGUGUGGAACCCGGUGGGUUCGUUGGAGUGACUCUCAGAUGCUCUAUUUGGAGGGCUAUUAGACAGAGGCACCCUUCCCUCUGAUUCUGUGCAGUGUGGGCGGUGCAGAAAGAGAGCCCCCCAACAGCCUGGCCAUCUGUGCCACCAACCGGGGUGCCAGUCUAGGGGGACCAGAGACAAGUGGAUGGAAGGGAGACAGUCGGUGGUGGGGUCUGGAAUCAUAUGGCCCCUGAGGCCUGCCCUGCUUCCGGAAUCUUCCACUGAAUCUUCUGGAAUCUCCUGGAAUCUUAUUUAAUUGAGACUUCAAUCGUUGGUGGCCAAAUUAUCUUAGAUGGUAAGAAUGACAGAAUUUCCAAACCAGUUUUGUGCCAACAAUAUAGGGACAUGUGCAGGCCAUUGGAAAGGAGAGCACAAUUGCUCCCAAAUCUGUCUUCUCUUAAUUUUUUUAAGUGAAAUCUUUAAAAAGUCACUACCUGAAAUAUAUAAGUGAAGUUGAAUCAGUAAAAAUGCACAUUUAGGAGGGUUUUUGUUUGUUUUUAACACCAACAGCCAGGAAUGUAGCUCAGUGAGGUAAGCACACCAGGCAAUUUAGCCUGCCCGAGGCCCUGGGAUCAAUCUCCAGCACCAAAGAGAGAGGUGGGGGUGGGGACAGGAGGGGGUGCGGGGAGAAUGAAUGAGAAGCAGGAAUGGUGGUGCACACCUGUCAUCUCCUCAGCUAUAGGGGAGGCUGAGGCAGGAGGAUCAUAUGUUCAAGGCCAGCCUCAGCAACCUAGCAAGACCUUGUCUCAAAAUUAAAAAGAAAAAAAAAAAAAUAGAAAGAACUGGGGAUGUAGCUCAGUGAUAGACCUCUUGACUAGCAUGUUGGAAAGUCCUGGGUCCCAUCUCUAGUACCGAAAUAUAAAUAAAUUAUACAAAUCAAUAAAAACUAAAUUUAAAAAAAUGGUCAACAUUACUAAGCAGUACACUGUGAGAAGUGGGUAUCCCUCCCUUUUCUCAGCACUCCCCAAAAGCAACAUUUUAACUACUGUUGCAGAAAGGUUCUUGUCCAUACUUCCUAAAAUAUUCUGUGCAUAAAUCUCCCUUUUCAUUUGCAGGAAGAUACAAAGAGCCUCUUGCCUUUUUUCUCUGACAAAAUACCUUCAAGGUUGUUCCAGAUCAGAAAAUAUUUAAGCUGUUUCUUAAAUAUGGCAACGUGGCUAGGAUCAUUCUUCACUUUGGUGCUACAACCCCCACCUGCCCAUGGGGGUAAGUUAGUUUAUUCACUCAAUGAAAUGAAGCAACAUUGGCAAGUACCUUCACAUAUCUCUCUUCUCUUUCUUUUUUCUUUUCUUUUUAUUUUUUUGGUACUGGGGAUUGAAAUCAGGAGCACUUACCCACUGAGCCACAUCCCAACCCUUUUUAUAUUUUAUUUAGAAACAGGGUCUCACUGAGUUACUUGGGGCCUUGAUAAGUUCUGAGACUGGCUUUGAACUCGAGAUCUUCCUGCCUCAGCCUCCUGAGCCACUGGAAUUAUAGACAUCAUCUUCACAAGUUUCCGAGGAAACUUAAAAUUACUAAACAGGUGCAAACAAAUUGCAUUUUGGGGUUCUGCAGUUUACUUAACCAAGCUCCUACAGAGUCAUUUAGGCUGGGACCUUUAGCUACAACAAAUGUUGUAUAUGCCAUUUUGAUUGUCAGCUGUAUAAAGUGUUCUAAAUAACAGUCAGUGUAAAGAUCAGCUGUUGAACCAGAAGUUUUACAUUUGAGAUGUUCAGAGAACUUGAACAAUGUUGAUUGUUUUCUUUUUGGUAUGUAACCGUCUCUUUUCUCCUAUAUAUGUAUGGAUUUAUUUUUCUCAUUCAUCUAUCUAUUCACUAAGAACUUACUGAGCACCUACUCGGUCCCCAGGGAUAUGGGUACUGAUCUUCACCUCCAGGGUCUUGUGUUACCUGAUCUUUUGAGAAGCAGGUAAUAGAAUCAAUAAAUAUCCAGUCCUCUGUGAUUAUUUAACUAAUAUUUUUGGGACUUUGGUGAUAAUGGCUUUGUAAUCACUUCCGUACAAUCCAACUCAGCUUUGGACCUGUAUCAGAACGGAUGUUUCCAUGCUAGAUCAUCCCAUAUUUCCAGGUGACACGGGAAAGAUGAGCCCAACAAAUAGAACAUGGUAACCGCUAUCAGUUCCUGAGCGCUUACUCUGCCCAGAUAGAAAGCAGCAAUAACUGCUGAGAUGUUAUCUCGAGAAUGACAGUGAGUCCUGUCGUUUGUCCCUGAAUUCAAUACUGCAAUAUUGUUUACUUUGUACUUUUAAAAAACACUCAAUUUCCUCUUGAUUUUUACUAUCAGGCAUAGAGGAACCAAUUCUGGGUCCACAUUUGCUGUUUUUUUUUUCCUAUAGUUGUAAGAUUCCAUUGCAUCAUAUAAUCCUUAAAAAUAUUAAAACUCUGAGAAAAUAAGAAGCAUUGCCAAGAAAACGAGGCUGAACUCUUCCUGUGGCCCAGAUGCACUGUUCCUGACACAGUGGUGUUAUUAAAAACUUCACCUAUACAGAAAUCUGCCGGCUGGGGCUGAGGCUCAGUGGCAGAGGGCUUGCCUGGGUUCCAUCCUCAGCACCACGUAAAACUAAAUAAAUAAAAUAAAGGUAUUGUGCCCAUCUACAACUAAAAAUAUUUUUUAAAAGAAAUCUCUGAUUGCAGACAUUUCAACCAGAACUGGAAUGAUGGAUUAGUUAACUUACAUCAGGCCCAUAUCUUGAAUCAUCUCAGGUCUCAGGUGUCUCCCCUUGACUUACCUUUCCUUUGAGAUGGGGUCUUGCUAUGUUGCCUAAGCUGGCACUGAACUCCUAGGCUCAAGUGAUCCUUCUGUCUCAAUGUCCCCAGGAGUAGCUUUGACUAUAGGCACACACCAAUGCACCCAGUACCCUUUACUUUCUUGGGGGGCGGCUGGUACUGGGGAUGAUUGAACUGAGGGGGUACUUAGCCACUGAGCCACAUCCCCAGCCCUUCUUAAAUUUUUAAAAAUUGUUUUUUUUCUUUUUUUUUUUUUUGUAUUUAUAGAUGGACAGAAUGCCUUUAUUUUAUUUGUUUAUUUUUAUAUAAACAUGUGCUAGGCAAGUGUUCCAACCCCAGACCCAAUUUUUAAAAAUUUUGAGACAAUGUCUCACUAAGUUGCUUAGGGGCUCCCUAAAUUGCCCAGGCUGGUCUCAUGCUUGCAAUCCUCCUGCCUCAGUCCUCCAAAUUUCGGGGAUUAUAAGUGUGAGCCACCACACCCAGCAAUUCUCUUUACUUUUUAUUUAUGUCUUUUUUAAACUUUAAAACGCAACACUUACUGUUUGAUUAUUUUUUGUUUUUCUCCACUGGACUCUGAGCUUCAUGAGGUCAGUGACUGGGUCUAUUUAUCUACCAGUUUUCUCUCAGUGCCUAACACACAAUAUGUGCUUGGGUAUGGUGGCACAUGCCUGUAAUUCCAGUGACUUGGGAGGCCGAGGCAGGAGGAUCUCAAGUUCAAAGCCAGCUUCAGUUACUUAGCAAGGCCCUAAGCAACUCAGUGAGACCCUGUCUCUAAAUAAAAUACAAAAUAGGGCUAUGGAUGUGGCUCAGUGGCUGAGUGCCCCUGAGUUCAAUCCCUGGUGCCCUCCAAAAUAACAAAUAAUAAUAAAAUAAAAAGGGUUGGGAAUGUGGAUCCAUGGUUAAGCACCUCUGGGUUCAAUCCCCAUUUUAAAUGUGUGUGUGUAUGUGUGUGUAAUUGAAUUUAUUUAGCAAUGUGCUAAUAAUUCAGAUGAACUAAGGCAAGAGUGGCUUGUAUAAUAAAAUUAAACUAAAAUAAUAGCAUGAAAAAAUAAAGGAAAAUUAUAAAUAUAAAAUGGUUCACAAAGUAAUGAGAAUGAAAUGAAAAUGUAAAUGUGGAAUAAGCAAUAUAGGCCAUGGCUAGGAACACCUUAAUUCUUUUUUUUUUUUUGUACUGGGGAUUGAAUUCAAUUCAGGGGUGCUCAACCACUGAGCCACAUCCCCAGCUCCUUUUUUAAUUGUUUAUUUAGAGACAGGGUCUUACUAACUUCCACAGGCCCUUGCUACAUUGCUGAGGCUGGCCUUGAACUUGAAAUCCUCCUACUUCAGCCUCCUGAGCAACUGGGAUUACAGGUGUGUGCCACCACACCCGGCUCUCUAUUAUUCUUUAUUCCAUUAAUAGGAACCCUACCUGUGGCCAAAGGCAAGCAAAAUUUGUUCGUCGAAUUGGUGAAAUGAGAUGACCAGGUACAUAGGCUUCUGAGAAAAUAAUCUAAAAUGAUUAUGCUGUGCCUAAUAUCAAAGAAAUGUUAAGAGAGCCCAUAAUAAAAAGGAGUCUGAUGCACCCCAAGGGCCUCCUUCAGCUCAAGACCUUGAGACAUCUUGCAAAUGAUAAUUGUCUCUUACAUCAUCGCCUCUGAGGUAAGAAUGGUUUUCUCCAUUUAUAACUGAGACUACCUAACAUUAUUUCUCCCAAACUCCCAGAGUCACAGCUGGUACUUGAAUCCUUCACCUCCCGAGAUAUAUGUCAGUUAGCACAUAAAUCACAUUGUUAAACAAGAAAAAAACUUUAUAUCAGGGCAGAGUUCUGUUUGGUCUAUCAGGAGACUGAGCUCAUUAGGGACUUUCAGAUUUCAAGUAAAAAUUCCCUAAUGAUGAGUGGGAAGGAGAAGAGACUGGAGGAAUUUCAAGACAAAAGUCUAUUCAGUUCUACUUCAUAUUUUAAUGACAUUUUCAAUAUUUGGAUGGCCUAAGAGAUGAAUUGACUUCAAAACACUUUCUGAAAUUGCAGGUGACCUGGAGCCAAAAUAAAGAAUAUCUGACCAAGUGUACAUUCUCAGAGGAAUGAUAAUAAAACCCUAGACUGGGAUGUAAAAUGUUUCAUUUUAUUGCCCAAAUCCAUGAAAAUUCACCAUGGUGGAUCAAACUUUUAAUAUCUGGUCACAACAGGACAUCAUUCUUAAUGAUAGCCAGCUGCAGAGAGUAUGUGCUUGGAAUUUUCAUUCCCUACCUUCGUACUGUCAGGGAUCCUGUGUUUGAGACUUACAACCAUUUUUAAACUUUCAUUCACAAAUAAUGACAAGUGUUAAGAAAAAUUAUAAGAAGAGUAGAAAAAACUCCCACAUGCCUUUUAAACUAGAUUCAACCAAUUGUUGCCGGGUGCAUUGGUGAACCCCCUGAAAUCCCAGCGUCUCAGGAGGCUGAGGUGGGAGGAUGGCAAGUUCAAGGCCAGCCUCAGCAAAUUAGUGAGGCCCUAGGCAACUCAGGGAGAGCCUGUCUCUAAAUAAAAAAAAAUAAAAAGCGCUGGAGAUGUGGCUCGGUGGUUAAGUGUCCCCAGGUUUAAUCUCUGGGAAAGAGCGAGAGCGAGAGCGAGAGCGAGAGAGAAAGGGAGGAAGAAAGACAUGAAACAAUUCAGCAAACUAGGCUUUCCCAGCCAGCAUCAAGCAAAUUCCUGCAAAGAACACUCUCUUUACUCCCCCAAAAUUUAAAAUCCACGGACUAGGGUGUGUUCCUUUUUCUUCUCUGUGUUCAUUCCUUCUCUGCACACUAUAAGAUACUUCGACUCUGUUCAACUGAGAUUUGUGGUGAUUGUGAAAAGCUCUCCAUUGCCUGAACAUUCUAAGCAAAUUUUGAACAAGUCAAAUUGUUCUUCAAGGGGAAUACCGGGGACUGAGCCCUGGACUUUAGUGCGUGUUAGGCAAGCACUCUUUCACUGAGUGCCAUCCCCCCCCACCCCGCCCCAUAAAGGAAACAUUUCUAAGGGUUCCUGGUUAGUCUACUUAUGGAAAUCAGUAGUGCUUUGCUUUGGCAUCUUUUAUGUAUAAAAAUGGGUUAAAUACAAACAGGUGGAUACUAUUAUUUAGUUACCAUUUAGGGCACACUUCCUUACUCUUAUCCACACACAACCACGUUUCAACCACAAACAAAACAGUGGAUGCUCAAAGAGAAGUCACUAGCCUGGGGUCAAACAGUUGGAAUUGUUUUUCUCUCUUUUUUAUUUUUGGUAUGAGCGAUUAAACCCAAGAGCACUUAACCACUGAGCCACAUCCCCAGCCUAUUAUUAUUAUUAUUAUUUUGACACAGGGUGUUGCUGAGUUGCUUAGGGUCUCGCUAAAUGCUGAGGCUGGCUUUGAACACGAAAUCCUCCAGCCUGAGCCUCCUGAGCUGCUGGGAUUACAGACAUGCGCCACUGCACCUGGCUAAGAUGGGUUUCAUGUUGAGAUACAAAGUAAGGUGUGGGAAAUGGCCAUCCUGAUCUCUUCAGUCCUGAGAGCAUCUUAAAGUUCCAACUCCAGACCCUGGGUCCUUUAAAAGUAAUAAAUUGGUGUUUCAUUUAAAAAUAUUCUUUGCAUUACUUUAGAGAACGUUUCCCUCACAUUGAGUUAAUGAGCUUUUCCUGUAAAACAUGGUUAGGAGAGAUUCUGCUCCUGAAUUAUGGAAUUUGGAGCACAUUUGGGGGAUUGAAACAGCUCCUCAGAUAAAAGAAUCACCUGGUAGAAAACAUGCACGUUUGUCUCUGGAAUGUCUAAAUGUGAGUUUCGGGGGCGGCCGUAGCUUGCUUACUUUUCAUUCUUUAUAUUUGAUCAGCUAAAUAUUAAAUUCUCUUUUUAUAUUCUGUGAAAGUUCACUUUUCAAUUGUUGAUAUUUAUUUAUUUAUUUAUUUGGUACUGGGGAUUGAACCCAGGAGUGUUCUACACUUAAGCCAGAUCUCCAGCCCUUUUUAUUUAUUUUUAUUUUUUGUGGUGCUGGGGAUGGAGCCCAGGGCCUUGUGCAUGCGAGGCAAGCACUCUACCAACUGAGCUAUAGCCCCAGCCGCACCCCUUUUAAUUUUUUUAUUUUGAGACAGGGUCCCACUAACUUGCCUAGGCUGGCCUUGAACUUACCGUUCUCCUGCUUCAGCCUCCCAAAUAGCUGGGAAGUUUGUUUUUCUUUCUAUAACAUUCUUUUGCUUUUUACUAGGGGCCAGCAGGGAAUAAGUGGAGGAAGGAAGCUGGUAGAAAUAUGAAAGGAAUCUUGUAAACUUCUUUCAGGAAAGAAUCAUGAAACUGUCCAUCGACCCACAUUUACGUGGCUUCUUUACAUCUUGUGAUUCAUUGUUCACAAAUGUCAUUAGUUUUAUUUAAAUUAUAUAUAUUUUGUCCUAAUCUUUUUUUAAGAUUAUGUUUAUGAUCAUUACUUUUCUUUUAGUUGUCGAUGGACCUUUAUUUAUUUAUUUAUUUAAAUGUGGUGCUGAUCAAACCUAGUGCCUCACACAUGCCAGGCAAGUGCUCUAUCACUGAGCCACAAAAUCCCAACCCCUAUUUUCUCAUAACUUGCUUGCCUUGGGAGGCUGAGGCAGGAGGAUCGUGAGUUCAAAGCCAGCCCAGCAAAAGCGAGGUGCUAAGCAACUCAGUGAGACCCUGUCUCUAAAUAAAAUACAAAAAAGGGCUGGGGAUGUGGCUCAGUGGUCAAGUGCCCCGAGCUCAAUUCCUGGUAUCCCCCCAAAAAAAUUAUGGGAAGACCAAAAGCCUCCUUUUUCGUUUUACCUAUACGAAUAGAUAAAUGAGGGUUGUUUACUAUACAUGUGUAUUUUCAUAAUAACUGGGUUGAACCUGGCCUCGUGAUGCACAUUUGUAAUACUAGCUACAUGUGAGGCCGAGGCAGGAGGAUCGAAAGUUCUAGACCAGCCUCAGCAAUUUAGUGAAACCAUCUCAAAAUAAAACAUAAAAAGGGCUGUGGAUGUAGCUCAGUGGUAAAGCACCACUGAAUCCAAUUUCCUGCACCACAAAAGAAAAAGGAAAGAAAGAAAAACUGGGGUGAAAGUGUCCUGAUGGGCUGGUGGGUAGGCCAAGUAGUAAUAACAACCCCACGUAGUAAUUACUGAGCUGUUGCUAUUUGUGGGCAUGGGAGGAAGUACUUCAGUCUCCCUUAAUCCUCACCUCAAACCUCAGAGGCAGUUGCUGUUAUUAUCUGGUUUUGUAGAUGAGGACAGGGAGACUUGGAAAGAUUCCAGAGGAGCUAAAGGAGCCACACAACUCAUGCUCCUGCUGGAUGUGACUUCACUGUUCACCCUCAGUUCUGGAGAGAUCUCCUUUGCAGUUGUCAGGAGGGUGCAUGGGAUGGGCACUGGACUGUGUUCAGGAAAUCAGAGAAGGAGCCGGUGAAGCGGUGCAGGUGAGAGGUGAUGUGGUUGGAGCUACAAUUUCCAAGGUGGGAGAAAGUGGAUGGAGAUGGUCGGGUCCUGGUGAUGGAUUCAAUAGGAACACGGGGGAGAGGAUGGUGUUGAGGCUCAAUCCAGGCUUUUUCCUGAUGUGGAUGAGCAGCGCUAACAAAAAGAUGCAUCAGAUCUCAGCCAUUCCAACUCCUUGUUAGAGAACAGCCAAUCGGAAUGAUGGAAAGACAGGAAAGAUGAAAUACUGGAAAGGAAAUAGGACCAGGCUAUGAAAUGAUUCCCAGUCCUGCUGUGAACACUCGGGUCUAUUAGAAACAGUUUUCAACCUGGUGCAGUAGUGCACGAUUGUAAUCCCAGCAGCUCAGGAGGCUGAGGCAGGAGGAUCACAAGUUCAAAGCCAGCCUCAGCAACUUAGCGAGGCCCUGAGCAACUCAGCAAGACCCUGUCUCUAAAUAAAAUUCAAAAAAGGGCUGGGGAUGGGGCUCAGUGGUUGAGUGUCCCUGAGUUCCAUCCCUGGUACCAAAAAAGAAAAAAGAAAACAAAAAAAAAAAGAAGGGAAAGAAACAGUUGUCAGUUCACAUAUCAGUUGGAUGGUGCUUCUCAAGGGUUUAAAAAUGAUUAACUAUGGUUUGGUUUUCCAAAUAGUUUAAAUAUUCCCUUCAGAGAGCUUGUUAGACUCUUUGUUUCCUAAACUCUUUCUGUUUUAAAGACGGGGAAAAUAUUUGGGAGGCUGAGACAGGAGGACCAAAAGUUCAAGGCCAGCCUCAGCAACUUGUUGAGAACCUGUCUCAAAAUAAAACAUAAAAAGGGCUGGGGAUGAGGCCCAGAGACCUCAUGUACAUGUAAACAUCCUUCAAUCCCUGGUCCCAAGAACAAAACAAAACGAAAACUCUGUUUAAGCUGACAUCCCAAUUAAUAAUGCUUUACUCAAAUAGAAUAUAUGGACCAGCUCAUGAACAGACACAAUUUUCAUCAAACCUUGGAUCCCACAUUGCCAUUAAGUUUUAAUUGGUGGUCUUUUUAAUGAGUCUUCCACUUAGGAUUUUGCAGUCUGCACAAAAUAGUUGGUCGGGCAAGGGGUGAAGGUAAGGGGCGGAGUUUCAUAACAUGCCUUGCCUGGGAUAUGAGACCCAAGUUGGAACUACGUCGUGGUUCAGCUAUUUUCUCUGACAUUUGAUGAGUAUCUUCACAGACUGGGUUUACAUAUGUAUUAUCUUCUUUAGUCCUCGCUACCACCAGACACAGAAUAUUUUGCUUUGUCUCUUUUGAAAAUGACAGGACCAGAACUUCAGAGCUACAUAUCCAACUGUCUGCAAACUGUUUACUGUAUAGCAUACCAACAAUCAUCCAAGCAUCCACAAUUCCAUGAUUAGAAAUCUGAACUUGUUCUUUUUUUUUUUUUCCCUCAGUGAUGGGGAUAGAACCCAGGGCUUCACAUGUGCUAGACAAGUGCUCUAUCAUGGAGCUACAACCCCAGCCCUUUUCAUGCUUUAUUUUGAGAAAGGUUUUCACCAAGUUGCUGAGGCUGGCCUCAAACUUGCAAUCUUUCUACCUCAGCAUCUUGAGUACCUGGGAUCACAGACAUGCUACCAUUCCCAGCUGUACUCACACAGUCUACGUAUUUUUCUUUUUCUUUCUUUCUUUCUUGGUACUGGGGAUUGGACCCAGGGGCACUCCACCACUGAGCCCCAUCCCCAGCCCUUUUAUUGGAUUUUAUUUAGAGACAGGGUCUCACUGAGUUGCUUAGGGCCCUGCUGAAUUGCUGAGGCUGGCUUUGAACUUGUGAUCCUCCUGCCUCAGCACCCCCAGGCUGCUGGGAUGACAGGCGUGCACCACCACCACCAGCUCUGUCCCUUUCUUGAAAGUUACAAAUGUGCUUGCACCACGACAAAGUUGCUUUUUCACAGAUCAAAUUGAAAUCAUCAAUGAGAAAUCACCUUUUUGAAACUCCAAACUAAUUAAAAACAAGAGCAAGCAGACAAACAAACAAAACCCCCAAACUCUGGCCCUGUUCACCUGGCAGGAGAGGGGCAGGUGCCAAAACAAGUCUGUGGCCACUCUUUAUAUUUUAUCUUGUGCUGUGUUUGGGCCUGUUAACCACAUCAUGUGUGUAGCAAUAAUAUUUGCACAGUCUGAAGGUCCCAGCUCUGUUUGCAUUUCUCUCCGAAAGACACAUGGUGCUCCACAAAAUGCAAACAAAUAGUCAUUUCUGAGCCAUGUUCCUCCAAUAUCGUUUAUCCCCCCUGCUUUUUUAAAUUUACCUUUGUUUAUUUAGUUUGUUUAUGUGGUGCUGAGGAUUGAACCCAGUGCCUCAUGCAUGCUAGGCAAGCGCUCUGCCACUGAGCCCCAGCCCCAGACCUCCUUUCUCCCUCUUGCCAGAUUUUGUUAAAGGUGAUCAUGUGAGUUUCCCUUUCUGGUUUUUGGUGCAACACGGAGCAAGUGUUCCUGACUUCAGCCCCCGGUGCACUCAGGUGAGCACACAAUGCAUUGUUCAUCCAAGGUGACCUACAGUGUUCAAACUUUGCUAAGCCAGCUGCUGGACAACCCUGAGCCCCAGUAACAACACCACAAAUCAUGGGUAUAAAGUUAGGGAGAUGACUUCUAAAGAGGCUCCAGAGAGAGUUUUUACUUCUUAGGCUUAUGACCAGAAGUUCAUGGCGCAUUAAGUUUUCCAUUUGAAAACUAGGAGAAUCCCCUGCCACAACUUCCAAAAGUGAUUGGAGGGAGAAAACAUCAGGAUAUCUCUCCAAUAUAAGAAUUCUCUAAUUGUACUGAAAAACACUCCAGCUUCCUCUAUGUUUGCUAACAGGAGAGUGUCCUUUCCCCCACAUCCUCACUAACAUUUAUUGUUACUUGUACACUCAUACAUUUCUGGUGGGACUGAAAAUUGGUGCAGACACUCUGGAAAGCAGUGUGGAGAUUCCUCAGAAAACUAGGAAUGGAGCCACCAUUUGGCCCAGCUAUCCCACUCCUCAGUUUAGACCCAAAGGACUUAAAAUCAGCAUACUACAGUGACACAGUCACAUCCGUGUUUAUAGCAGCUCAAUUCACAAUAGCCAAACUAUGAAACCAACCUAGGUGCCCUUCAACAGAUGAAUGGAUAAAGAAAAUGUGGCAUAUAUACACAAUGGACUAUUGUUCAGGCAUACAGAAAAAUGAAAUUAUGGCAUUUGAUGGUAAAUGGAUGGAUCUGGAGAUUAUCAUGCUAGUGAAAUAAGCCAAUUCCAAAAAACCAAAAGCUGAAUGUUCUCUAUGAUAUGCGGAUGCUAGCUUAUAAUAAGGGAAGGAGGAGGGAAGAAUAAAAGUUCAUUGGAUUAGACAAAGGGAAUGAAGAGAAGGGAGGGGGAUGGGAAUAGGAAAGACACUGGAAUGAAUCAGAUAUAACUUUCCUAUGUUCAUACAUGAAUAUACAACUGGUGAAAUUCCACAUCAUGUACAACCACAAGAAUGGGAAGUUACACUCCAUGUAUGUAUAAUAUGUCAAAAUACACUCUACUGCCAUGUCUAUCUAAAAAGAAUAAAUAAAAAAUAAAAAUAAAUUAAAAAAUCAAACAGGCGGCUGGAUGCCAUGGUGCAUGCCUCCCAGCAGCUCAGGAGGCUGAGGCAGGAGGAUCACAAGUUCAAAGCCAGCCUCAGCAAGGCCCUAAGCAACUUAGAGAGACCCUGUAUCAAAAUAUAUAUAAUAAAAAGGGCUGGGGAUGUGGCUCAGUGGUUAAGUGCCCCUGAGCUCAAUUCCUGAUACCAAAAAAAAAAAAAAAAAGCUUUCCCUAGCCUUUGGAAACGGCUCCCUGAUUUCCCUUUAUGAAAUCAUGUUCUGUGUUUAUGUGUGCUGUGCUUGGUCUCACUCCAUCCCUCCACCUCCAGCGAUGAGCAGUGACCCAGACCUGAACAAUUGGAGCGAGGGUAUCUCCGGUCACAGAGAUUGGCUCACAGAGGGACACGUGACCGAGCUGGGCUAGUGAGAAGCCUGGAGCUUUUGCCAGAAUGGCAAAGGAGAGUCCUCUUUCCUGUGGGGUUGUUAGGCUGGAAGAAUGUGGAGCUGCUGCUGACCAUCCUCUCUGGCUGCUCAGGAGAAUCUACGACUGCAGAGAACCGAACUGACCCAGGAAGAGCGAGAUGGAGGAGAACGGUCACCCUGCAUCGUCUCAGCUCCCCGAGGCAGCAGUGUUGAAACUUGUGUACCCCUGAACCAUUGAUUCAGCCUUGGGCCAGUGUGUGGGGGUGGGGUGGGGUGGGGGUGGGAGAGUUUCUGCUAAAUGCAAAAAAGAAAAAAAAAUGUGGAGGCCAGCCACAGCUUUGUUUAGUGCUGGAAGAAAAACGGAUUCCCCCCACCCCCACUCUUAGAAUAGGAAUUCCAAAGCAAUCUCAUCACAUGAAGAUGGUUUCAGCAUGGUUUUACUUUAUUUGUACACAGGUGUUGUAUAUAAAAAUCUGAGCAGGUUAAAACUGGAAGGAUCCCAGAAGGUUUAUUACCUAAAAAGGCAAAGUGACUGUCCUAGGGCCAUAUGUUGGGGUACAUAUAAUGGGAGUGUCAUGGCAUUGGAAUCUGCCACCCCCCUUUCAUUAUCCUUUAGUGAAAUGGAUUUUGGAAUUGGAGAUUCUGCUCAGAAAUGGGCUGUAAUAUUGACAGUCAUUAGGUAGAGGUCAGCUUUUUAAAAAAUAAUGAUGCAGCCAGGCACAGUGGUGCACACCUGGAAUCCCAAAAGCUCAGGAGGCUGAGGCAGGAGGAUCGUGAGUUCAAAGUCAGCUUCAGCAAAAGCGAGGCACUAAAGCACCUCAGUGAGACCCUGUCUCUAAAUAAAAUACAAAGUAGGGCUGGGGAUGUGGCUUAGUGGCCGAGUGUCCCUGAGUUCAAUCCCUGGUACUAAAAAAAAAAAAAAGAAAAAAAUGUGUGGGGAGGGGCCUCUGGACUUGCCUCAGUGGUAGAGUGCCCCUGAAUUCAAUUCCCUGUACCAAAAAAAAUUAAUAAUAAUAAAAAUUUUUAAAAAGCAGAAUCAGUAACAUUAGAAUAUUUCACAUACAAUAAGGGCAAGUAAUAUUUUGGGAAGUUUUAUUUCUGUUGUAUAUAAAAAUGUAGGUGUGCAUAUACAGAGAUAUUGAUGUGGUAGUCUGACAUGUACUAUGCAUUUUUUUCCUGUGGUCCCUGGUCAAAAUUUAAAGCCUGUUUAGAAGAUACUUGGGUUUCUCUUAUGAACACAUUUUCAUCAAAAAGGAGGGAAAGGUGUACUUUCAUAUCAGUGAAGGGUCACCUGGCAUGCCAUGCAAGCCAGUCUCCACGAGUGGCAUGGAUUUGGAGGAAGUUCUGAGCCUGAGUUGUGAACACACAUUUGUCCCUGUUUGCCUUCCACAUCACUGAGCUAUCAGUAACCAGAGUGUGUUUUUGCAGUGCUUUUGGGGUUCUUUGAGGGAUGAAAGUGCUGCAUACAAUCAAGUCUGGUCUGUUUAUGGAUGUAAUUCUCUGUGCCCAGAGAUCAGGAUGUGCACUGUGGUCUGAAUUACACUGCAUCUGAUUCUCAUUAACUGCCCAUGAUUUCCCCCCCUGGAUCCGGUUUCUCUGCCCUUUCUGAAUUACUGUGCACAUGGCUGGCUUCCGCAGAUUGCUCAGCCCCGGUCAUCUGCAAUCGAGUCUGCUGCUCUGUUAUAACCCAUGCUGCAAUUUGAGUGGACCCAUAUCAGGAGUGCUUUAGACAUAAAAAAUCUGUCUGAUGAUUGAAGAAACUCCCUGAACUAAAUGCUUCUGCAUUCGAGACUUUAUUAACUAAGCACUAUGGAAAGGGGUAGAUUUGAUUGCUUAGGCCUGCAGAAAGAAAACUGGACAAUAAAUAUUUAUUAUCAAAAUGUGUAUAAUGCUAUGGAUUGAAGUGUAUCCCCCUAAAAUGCGUAUGUUGAGGCCCUCGCUCCCAAUCUUAUUGCAUUUGGAAAGAGGGCUUUUAAGAGGUAAAUAAGGUUCUAAGAGGUCCUAAGGGUGGAGCUCGAAUCCUGUAAGAUUGGUGACCUUCCAAGAAGAGAGCUGGGCAUGAACCUGCACUCCCGGAAUCCCAGAGACUCAUGAGGCUGAGCCAGGAGAAUCACAAGCUUGGGAUCAGUCUCAGCAAUUGAGUGAGCCCUCAACAACUUAGCAAGACCUUGCCUCAAUAUUAAAAGGGGUGGGGAUGUAGCUCAGCAGUCAAGCACCCCUGGGUUCAAUCCCCAGAACUACAAAAUAAAUAAAUAAAUAAAUAAAAAUAAAGGAAGAAAAGACAAGUGGAGACCAUUCUCCUUUUCCUCUGUGUAUACCAGAGUCACCAGGGAAAGCCCAUGUGAGCACACAAUGAGGAGGUGGCCAUCUUCAAACCAGGGAAGAGCCCUCACCUGACCAUAUGGGUACCCUGAUCUCAGAACCUACAGCCUCCAAAACUGUGAAAAAAUAAAUAUAUGUUGCUUUCCCUGCCAAUUCUAUGGUAUUUUGUUAUCGUAACGCCAGCUGAUUCAUUUAGAUAGCAAGCAAGGCCUUUCUCCUUUUUAAUACCAAAACGGCACUGCAGACUUUUUUCUCAGCCUAAUAAAUUCAGAGCAUCCCCUCGCUGUGUGCCAGGCGUCCCCUGAGUCCUGAUUGACUCCUGUGGUCUUCCCAAUAGCUGUCAAUCAGGGCGAGCUAAGUCAGUGUUACACACGCCCAACCUCAGGGUUGAAAACCACAGGUGCAUCCUUCUUCCUCACCCCUGCAUCUCUUUGUGGGUGGGCGGAGCUCGUCCACCGGAAGUGACACCCGAUCCGCCCACCGGAAGUGACGCACGAUGCCGCUCACUUUUCACUGUGGGGGCAAGUGCCAGCCUUUACUUCCGGAAGAUGAGGAUGUGCUAUGCUUUCGCGUCUCCAGAACCAGGAGACCCGGGAGAACUGACGACUGCAGCCUUUAACGAAGAGGAUGCUUUUACUAUCUCUGUUUUACAGACAAGAAAACACAGAGAAUUGGUGGAACUUGCCCAGAUUACCCAACCAAUAAGCCCAAUAGGGUUACCAGGCUGGGCAAGUCAGAACCCAGGGCAUCUAGUUAAAUUUGAAUUGCAGAUGAACGAGAAAUAAAACUUUUUAGCAGAAAUAAGCACCAAAUCUGCAUAUGAGAUGUGUUUAUAAUGAAAAAAUUACUGAUUGUUUAUCUGAAAUUCAAAAUUGACUUGAGUAUCCUGUAUUUUAUGUGGCAACCCUAAGCCAGGUGAUCCUCAGGCAGCAUUUGGACCUGAGUAUUUAGGCUCCAGAAAUGAGGGUUCUACUCACAACCAUCCCUUACUAAUGUGAUUUUUAAAAAAAUUUUGGUUCCUCUGCCAAUGUUAAUUUAAUUUAUUUUAUUUUUUGGUGCUAGAGAUUGAACCCAGGGGUAUUCUACUACUGAGCUACACCCCCAAUCCUUUGUAUUUUUUUACUUUGAGACAGGGUCUCGCGAAGUUAUGUAGGGCCUCACUAAGUUGCUGAGGCUGGUCUCAAACCUGCAGUCCUGCUAUAGCUGGGAUUACAGGUGUGCACCACCGAGUCCAGCUUAAAUUAAUGUUUGUUCCUUAACCACAUGAAAAAGGCUAAAAACAAAUUUAGGACCUUUCUAUUGGGGUAAAAAAACAUUUGGAGAUAUCUUUUUCCACUGAAAGUAUCAUGUAGGGUUCUGGGAGCUGGGGUCACAGGGCUGGGGCAGUAAAAGGCAAUAGAAUCUCAGCUGUAAAAAUGAAUCCAUCUAUAUCUGGGUGCAGUAGCAUACACCUGCAAUCCCAGAGGCUUAGGAGGCUGAGGCUGGAGGAUCACAAGUUCAAAGCCAGCCUCAGCAAUUUAGCGAGGCCUUAAGCAACCCAGUGAGACCCUGUCUCUAAUAAAAUGUAAAAAAGGAUGUGGCUCAUGGUUAAGCACCCCUGGAUUCUGGUGCGCGCGCACACACACACACACACACACACACACACCUAGUUUCAGUUUCAGAUGUCAUUUCCCAAACAUUCUUAGUUAAUGGAAGGGGAAAUGUGGGGCAGAUAAUCAAAAUGACAUUUAAUCCCCCAAACUUUGCCCUGUGAUUUUGAAAUGUGGCAUAUUUACCUCUUUAAUUAUGAAGCACUUAGACUGAUAACACAAUUAGUCUGCAUUUUCUGGCCACAGUAAUUGAGGAUUGAGGCUUGAGGAACUGAAUGCACAACAGCAGUAGACCGUGGGCUAUCAUUAUGCAUGUGUGUUGGGAUGAAUUUGAGCCAGGGAGGAUGCAGUCAGCUUAAGAUUUCAAAUUUUACAGAUACUUUCCCACAAGGUUGAUAGUUGAUGUGCAAAUAAGUCUUGACAAUGAAAAGAGCUAAUACAUGAUUAAUAUUUAGAAAGUGACUAUUCAUGGCCUGGGAAUUAUAUACUUGUUAAACUAUAAGGUGAAUGCCAUCAUUUGCUGUAUUUUGCAAAUGAGGAGGUGGAAGUUAGGCUAAGUGACCCUCAGAUUACAAUCAGGCCAACUUCUGAAGAGCUUUGAUUAUAAAAUAGUGCUGGGUGCAGUGGCACACGCCUGUAAUUACAGUGACUUGAGAGGCUGAGGCAGGAGGAUCACAAGUUCAAGGCUAGCCUCAGAAACUUGGCCCUGACUCAAGAUAAAAAAAAUAAAUAAAAAGGGGUGGGGAUGUGGCUCAUUGGUUGAGCACUACCCCUAGGUUCAAUUCCUAGUACCAAAAAAAAAAAAAAAAAAGAAGAAGAAGAAGAAGAGCUUUGAGUCUAGGCAUUGACAGAUGUAGCCAAGGAUGGGUUUGGAGAGUUCUUUAUUAAAAAUUCCCUUCAUUUGACUUGGCCAAAUUGAACGCUUGGCGUCAAGGAACUGAGGCCAGUGACUCAGCACCCCUGUUAGGUAUAAUGACUAACAAAUAAUUAGGAAGAAUUAACAUGUUUGAGCUCCUUGAUAAAACAUAACCGAGUACAGGAGUUGGUAUUUCCUUGCUUCUCUUUGGCCUAAGUUUCACUUCUUAAUUCCCUGCAAAGUGAGAUAAAAUCUUUCCCUAGGCAGGAUUUUAUUUUAUUUUAAAAGAGAGAGAGAGAGAGAGAGAAUUGUUUAAUAUUUAUUUUUUAGUUCUCGGCGGACACAACAUCUUUGUAUGUGGUGCUGAGGAUCGAACCCGGGCCGCACGCACGCCAGGCGAGCGCGCUACCGCUUGAGCCACAUCCCCAGCCCUAGGCAGGAUUUUAAAGCAAAGUAUUUCUUGAUCCCAUCAAGUGAACUGCCCUUUUAUGUCUUGUCUUCCAAAGACACACUCUGCACAUUCUCUCUUCUAGAAAGAGCUGCUGUACACAAAACACCAGAAUGUAUGUGUUUUUUUUUGUUGUUGUUGUUGUUGGUGGUGGUUUGGGUUCUGGGGAUUGAACCCAGGGAUGCUUUACCACUGAACAAACAUCCCCAGCACUUUUUAUUUUUUAGUUUGAAACAGGGUCUCACUCUACUGAGAGUCUUGCUAAAUUGCUGAGACUAGCCUCGAACUUGUGAUCCUUGUCUCAAGUCUCCUGAGUUGUUGAGAUUACAGAUGAGUGUCAUCGUGCCUGGCAUGAUGCCUGUUUUAAUCUUGCUACCUGGUUAAGUUCAAAGAAGCUACUUCCUCAGACGGGUCUGUGCAGACUAAUUUGAGAAUGAGCCCUGGAGAUGCUCCAGCAUCCUCUUGCUGUGUGCCUCUAUGCAAGAGUCAAGGAGAAGGAACGUAAAUGCAAGAAGAAGCCGGUUUAGGUCUGGAGGCUCCUCAAGGUCAAUGAGUUCCUUUAGUUAGUCAAUGGGGAUACAUGGAUAAGACGAUAUAUAUAUAUAUAUAUAUAUAUAUAUAUAUAUAUAUAUAUAUAUAUAUAUAUGAUAGAUAAAUAAAAUCUGGUACCAGUGAUUGAAGCCAGAGGCUCUUAACCACUGAGCCACAUCCGCAGCCCUAUUUUGUUCUUUAUUUAGAGACAGGGUCUCACUGAGUUGCUUAGGGCCUCACUGAGGCUGGCCUUGAACUUGAUUACAGGCAUGUGCCACCGCUGCAUCAUGGACUUUCACUCAUUUCUAUUGAGAAUAUUAUACUAACUUUAAUUUGGUCAUUACUGUAUCCUGGGUCCUGUCCUGACUUCUUUAUCAGGAUUACAUUUUACAGCCCUUAACAGAGCUUUAUGGACUGUUCUAACACUACUGAUGAAUGUGCAGCUUGGCAAAGUCACUUUGGAAACUGGUAGUAUUACCCAAAUGGAACCUAUGCAUGCUUUAUGACCCAGUGAUUCCACUCAAAAUAUAACCAACAGAGAUGCAUUCAUGUGUUUUCCAAAAGACAUGUUCUAGAAUGUUUUAGAAUGUUCAUAGCAGUUUGUAAUAUUCCCCAAAUAGGAACUGUCCAAAUGCCCAUUCUUUUAAUUAAUUAAUUAAUUAUUUUUGGUACCUGAGAUUGGACCCAGGGGCUCUUAACCACAGAGCCACAUCCCCAGCCAUUUUUUAAAAUAUUUUAUUUAGAGACAUGGUCUUGCUGAGUUCCUUAGGGCCUCACUAAGUUGCUGAAGUGGCUUUGAAUUCACAAUCCUCCUAUUAUAGCCUACUGAGCUGCUGGGAUUACAGGUACAAACCACCAUGCCUGGCACCCAUCAGUUUUUAAUGGGGUAAUAAAUUAUGGUACUGUGUUACCUUCAUACAAUGGGACACUAUGCAGCCAUGUAAAUGAAUCAUCUGCUACAUACAAAAGGAUGAGGGCAUAUCACAGUGUUCAACUAACACAUUCGGACCCAAAAGGUGUACUUCAGUAUGUAUGAGUCCAUUUUUAUAAAGUUUAAAGGCAGAGGUAAAUAUUGUGUUAAACAUCAGAUGGUGGGUCACCUGAAGGAAUUUUGUGUUAGGCAGAAUUCUAAGUGGGGGACACACGAUCUUUGCCCCCUAGUGUUACUCCCUUGGAUGAUCACUGCCCCUUGAGUAUGGGUAGAACCUGUCAUUUGAUGGGAUAUCACUCCUGUAAUUGAGGUCCUUAAUUACCAAGGAGAUGAAACAAGGUGGGCCCAACCUAAUUAGGUGAACUCUUGCAUGAGCAGUUAGAGGCUAGAGACAGAUGACACCAGAGACCUAGAAGGCAUCAACAGCUAUGAACUGCCUCUGGGGGCCACAGGGCAAGGAACUGUGGGCAUUGUGGAGGAGCUAAGAGUGGUCCCCAGCCUGUAGCUGAUAGAAAUAGGACCUUGGUUAAAUAGCCACAAGGACCUGAAUUCUGCCCCCCAACUUGGUGAGCUCAUGUCCUAGUAAGAUCCCAAGCUGGGGCUGUCACCUUGUUUGCCACUCUUGGGAGACCUGAGCAGAGGGUCUAAGUCAUGUCCAGACUUCUGACUCAUGGAGACAGAGUUGAUAAAGCUGCAUGUUUUUAGCCUGCUAAGUCUGCAUCGGUGGGCUGCACAGCAAGAGGAAGCUCAUUAAGCAGUGGUAGGGACUGGCAGGGGCAGCCGUCGUGCCCAUAGUGUUCUGGGUCUUGAUUUAGCUGGAGGUUUCAUGAAGGUGAUCUGUGAAGAUCUAUUGAGCUUAGGAUGGAUGGGCUCUUCUCCAUGUAUUUUGCAUUUGAUACAAAAUUUUUUAAAAACCAAGCUUUUGAAGUAGGUUGUGUAUUUUGAUUCUACCAUGUAGUUGAGGCUGUGGAAGAUAAGACACCAAACGCAGGCCCACUGAACCACUGUGCUGUGCUGUUUAGCUUGGCCUGUAUUAGAAAUGGCCAGGCUAGCUGGGCACUGUGGCCCAUGCCUGUAAUCCCAGCAGCUCAGGAGGCUGAGGCAGGAGGAUCACGAGUUCAAAGCCAGCCUCAGCAAUUUAGGGAGGCCACGAGCAACUUAGCAAGGACUGAUCUUUAAAUGAAAAAAAUAAGAAUAAAAAGGACUGGGGAUUUGGGCAAGCAACCCUGGGUUCAAUCCCUGGUACCCUCCCUUCCAAAAAAAAAAAAAGAUGGCCAGACCAGGCAAUAGAAGUAUCCUCUUGGUGUACUUUGAGCAGAACACUGCAGAAAAGGAGAGAGAGAAAGAAGGAAAUAAAUCUGUAAGCUGAAUUAGACCUAGGGUUGGAAAUGUAGCUCAAUGGUAGAGCAUUGGCCUAGCAUGCACUCGGCCCUGGGCUUAAUCCCCAGGACACUUUAAAAAAACAAAACCAAAUGCUAGAAUGAACUAGACCUUUGAGAUGUCAUUCUGAUUACUUGGGGGAAUUGUACUAAUAAUUCUAGUCAUUCUCUAGUAGUACGGUAACUGACCUUUUAUCGCUGUCCCUCUGCCACGCCUUUUCCCAGGGACCAGCAACAAUUGUAUCUAUGAGAGAUUCUGACUUUUGAACCCUGCUGUCAAGCAUUGAGAAUAAAAGUAGAGCUAAGGGGGAGGUGAGAGUCCACCAGGUGCCAGAGUCGGUGGAAAGGCAUGCACUAGAGCAGCUCUUUAAAAAACAGAAGAAACAAACCCAAAAUUACACAACAGUGUUUUAAAGAUUACUCGUGUGAUAUGCAUUCGUUUAAGCACAAUCAGACAACUUCAGAAAUUAAAAAUAUCUGUAAGUUAAAAAAAGACUCUCCUCCCUAAAUCAAGUUAACUUUUUUUUUUUUUUGGUAGUGGAAAUUGAACUCAGGAUGUGCUUAACCACUGAGCCACAUCCUCAGCCCUUUAUUUUAUUUAGACACAGGGUCUGGCUGAGCUCCUUAGGGCUUCACUAAGUUGCUGAGGCUGGCUUUGAACUCUCAGUACUCCUGCCUCAGUCUCCUGAGCCUCAGGGAUUGCAGGUGUGUGCCACCGUGCCUGUGCCUGGCCACACUGUUAAAUCUUAAGCAUGUCUUGUCUUUCCUUUUUGUUUUUAGUGAUCUGUCUAUCCAUUUAAACUAAAGGGAAAAGAAGUGAAAAACUAACAAAUAAACAGAAUUGUCUGUCUAUACUGAUUAUGCAGAAUGACAGCACACAUGCAUCUAAGACUGAACUGUUCACUGUGGUGCUACACAUGGCUAUUAAGUCCUUGAAGUAUGGUUAGUCAAGAUUGUCAUGUAAAAUACAUGGGGAAAAUCAGAACUAGGAAAAAAAAGAAUGCAAAUGUCUCAAUGGGUUUAUAUUGAUUAUAUAUUAAAAUGACGGAUUUUGGACACAGUGUUUAAAUAAAGUAUUAGAUUUGUUGAGAUAUAUAAAAUUUUAUCUGUGGCUCAUACUACAUUUUGAGAGGAUGAUUAGUCUAGCAUACUGCAGGUUUUUCACCAAAAGACAGAGCGCCAGGCAUGUUGGUACACACCUACAAUCCUAGUGACUUGUGAGGCUGAGGCAGAAGGAUUGCAAGUUCAAGGCCAGCUUUAGCAAUUUAACAAGACCCUUAGCAAUUUAGCCAGACCCUGUCUCAAAAUGAAAAAUUAAAAGGGCUGGGGAUGUAGUUCAGUGGUAAAGCAGUCCCCGGGUUUAAUCCCUAGUACCAAAAAAUGAAAUUUUUAAAUUUAUAUUUUUUAAAGGCUGGGGAUAUCUCACAGUGGUUAGAGUACUUUCCUGCAUGUAAAAGGCUGUAGGUUCAAUCCCAGGAUCAAAAAAAAAAAAAAAAAAAGUCAGGUGCAGUGGCGCAUGCCUGUAAUCCCAGUGACUAGGAGGCCGAGGCAGGAGGAUCGAGAGUUCAAAGCCAGCAUCAGCACUUAGUGAGGUGCUAAGCAACUCAGUGAGACCCUGUCUCUAAAUAAAAUACAAAAUAGGGCUGGGGAUGGGGCUCAGUGGUUGAGUGUCCCUGAGUUCAAUUCCCAGUAUGCCCCGGCCUCCAAAAAAUAAAAAAUAAUAAAGUCUUCUACGAAGGAAGGAUUUUAGGACUUUUUAUUUUUAUUUAUUUAGGACUUUAAUUUCAUGGCAUAUUUAGUAUUUAUUUAUUUUGUGAUGCUGGGCAUUGAUCAUACUCAUCAAGUACUAUACUGAGGUAUACCCAUCAGUUUGUUUUUUUUAUAAUAUUUUAUUAUUAUUGAUACAGGUUAAGUAUCCCUCAUCUAAAAUGCUAGAGACCCGAAGGUUUCUAGAUUUCCGAAUGUUUGGAUUUUUGAAAUGUUUGCCUGUGCAUGAUGUUCAUUUAUGUUUCAUAUGUACCUUAUACACAUAACUUGAAGGUAAUUUUAUAGAACAUUUUUAGCAAGACUGCAUUUUGGCUGUUAUCUGUCACAUGAGGUCAAGUGUGGCAUUUUCCACUGUGAUUGUUUACGUCUUUAUUUCUUUAUUUCAGAUACUGGGGAUUGUACCACUGAGCCACAUCUCCAGCCCUUUUUAAAUAUUUUAUUUAGAGACAGGGUCUCACUAAGUUGCUUAGGGCCUCGCUAAAUUGCUGAGGCUGGCUUUGAAUUUACAAUCUUCCUGUGUCAGCCUCCUGAUGAAUUUUUUAUUUUUAUUAACAUUAUGGUUUAAUAUUUAGAAACUACAUUAUGCACAUAUGAACUAUAUGUAGUCUGUUCUACACAUUUUUUUUUUCACUAAAUCUAUCUUGGGAUUCUUUCCAUAAUAUAUAAGUAGAUACUACACCGUACAAACCUACUUUAUCCUAUGCCUUAUUGAUUUAGGUUAGUUUUUUUUGUUUGUUUUAUUUUUUUCUGAAAACAGCUACUGCUACCUGUGACCCCAUACAUUUAUCUUAUGGUACCUGUUUCCUGACUUCCUUAGGAUUCAUUUCUAGAAGUAGCAUUCUUGGGUCAAAAAGCAGAGAUGAAGAAUUUUAGAGCCAUCCAGUGCCUUCUCCCUUAGAUUUUUGUUUUACUUUUGGCAAUAAACUCCCAGGAGUAGGGAGUGCUUAUUUUUGGUAUGAUUUACUCUGCAUAAUUAUGGGUAUGGGCAGGGAUUAUCUCUUAUGGGGGACAUAAACAUGCACGUGCGCGCGCGCGCGCGCGCACACACACACACACACACACACACACACACUUUUCAGUUUUUGCACCAGUUGUGGUAAAAGAUAGGUUUUGAUUCUUUAGAAAAUAAGUUGGGUGUCCUUAGGGAAGAAUCUAAUUGAAAUAAUCAGGGACCUCUGUAGUUCUUGGACCAAACCCUCACCUAGGGCACUGUCCAGCCAGCUGACCAAUGCCUGUUGCUGGCUCCAAUGCUGCUGUCAAUUUCAAUCAACUCUUGAGUGGCGUGGUGAAGUCCCACAAGCUCAAGAAAGCAAUCUGAGGGUAAAGAGACACUCAGAGAGGGGUUCCAGCAAGACAGGCACUGGCACUGUCUGGUAAAGUCCCCCUAACCAAGACCAUACAGAGCAGAAUCAGUCAUGAGGUUCCGUGAGCAUUUCCACUACAUUCGGUUCUGUGAAUGUUAAAGAAAUUUUAGUGCAAGAGAUCAUUACGAUACAGACUUCCAGUUUUAACCUCCUUGCCAAGUGCCUGGGGCUUGGAAUCUUCUCACAAAAUGCUAUUAUGUUGAAUUGACUUUAAAGACAUCAUAAAUGUCAACCAGUCGUACCAUCGCAUGGAUAGGAUCAGAGCCACCAUGUAAGAUAUCCAGUCAUGCCAGAUUUUUGAAUUGUGCUUCAGUCCUACCAAUGAACAAUCCUGGGACUCAAAACCACAAGAUUAAUGUUCCGUGGGAUACAUUUCUUUUCCCAUGGAAAAGAAAUGAAAUUGCCACCUGCUAGAAUUCAAGAAGUACUUAAUCAUAAAGUCGUAGCAAUUUUGGUGUGUUAACUCUUCAAGAAGUACCUGGAAAAUUAAUAGAUGCUCAAUGGCUGAAAUUAAGUGAAUUGCUAGAAAUAUUCAAUGUCAGGUAGCUGAUCAUUAUGCCAGUGGGAUCACCUAGGAUCAGUUUUAGUUUAUUAGAAAUAUAAAACCAGGCCUGGGGUGUGGAUCAACUGUAGAGCGCUUGCCUAGCAUGUGUGAGGCACUGGGUUCAAUCCUCAGCACCACAUUAAAAAAUAAAUAAAUAAAAUAAAGGUAUUGUGUUCAUGUAUAACUAAAAAAAAAAUCAAAAAAGAAAAGAAAAGAAAAGAAAAAGCCUUUCUGUAUUCCGUACACCUUUUUUUUUUUUUUUCCCUUUUGUGGUACUGGAGAUUGAACCUGAAGGUAUUUGACCACUGAGCUGCAUCUCCAAGCUGUUUUUGUUUUUUAUUUUGAGACAGAGUUUCACUAAGUAGCUGAGGCUGGCCUUGAAGUUCCAUCCUCCUUCCUCAGCCUCCCAAAUAGCUGGGAUUACAGGUGUGUGCCACCAUGCCUGGUGCUUGAAACCUUUGAAUUAUAAAUGUGUGUCUCUAGGGACUUAAAACCCAUACAUUAACACUGUAUUAUGCAGUUCUUCCGGUAAUAAAAACAAAAUGGCAAAAUGUCACCUACUGGGGUUGAAUGAAAAUGUUUUUGGAAGGACUUAAUUUCUCCUGGACUUUGAAGGGCCCAAUACCUGACUCAUAUGGAAAAGCUUAAAAGUGAUAAACUGAUGGGGGCCAUCUCUCAGGGCAAAAUUUACAGAUUGGACUUUGAACCAAGAGUGCACAUUCCCCAUUGGUGUUGAUAGCCACGUUUGGAUCUCUUGAAGAAUCCCUCUCUGAAGAAGAGUGUGGCACAACGUGGCUCUAUGGGUUGUACCACCCGAGAAGUCUGGGAGGAGCCACAGAAGUCCAUCCGUGGAAGAGAACCUUAGCAAAGGAACUAGGAUGCUAUCAGAAGUUCCUAGUUUGAGGGUAGGAGAAAACUACUGAGUCCUCAAAGAACUCAUAAAACUGCCCCAAAGGCAGGGAACCAACUUGUGAGAUUUUAUGCCUCCCAUUCAGUAAGACCCUGGUGCUGACUUGGAUAAGCUCUUCUCCCCCAAUCUAGUCUAGCAAAGGCUGGUUAAAAGAGGAAGUGGGCCAAGGAGAGAAUAAGAAGGCACUUCCGCUUUUCCAUUUUCCAUCUGGGGCUAGGUCUGAGUUGCUGGAGAGAAAACUUGAGGAGGAUGAGAAUAGAAGUUUGAUAUUGCACUACAUUGGAUUAUUUUUUUAAAUUUACAAUCUUCCUGCCACAUCCCCAGUCCUUUGUAAAAUUUUAUUUUAUUUAGAGACAGGAUCUUGCUGAGUUCCUGAGGCUGGCUUUGAACUCAUGAUCCUCCUGCCUCAGCCUCCCGAGGUGCUGGGAUUAUAAGCAUGCGCCAUCACACCCAGCUACAUUGGAUGUUUUAAUACCUGAAAAUGGGAUUGUUAAUGCUUGUAUGUUCCUGGAGAAGUCAUGGAAUCUGGGGUAUGAACGUGCGGUAGGGAAGGAAAACACGACAGAGACAGAAGGUGCGAAGAUAGCAACAGAAAAAAAUGAAUUUGUAUCUUUCUGUACUUUAAGCCUAACUCAUUUAAUUAGGUAGCUUCUCCCAAUAAACCAUCACUACCGUGUAAACUAUACUUCAGUUCCACACAACUGCAAUAACCUGAUUGAUGUGAUGAUCAUCUGUGACUUAUUAGAGGUCUCAUGAAGUUUUGUUACUAGAAUCAGAUGGUUCUUUUAGGACUAAAGAGAACCCUGAGCCCUGGAUCUGCAGCACUGGUAGGGCUGUUAGAAAUGCAGAAUCUCAGGCUCCAUCUCAGGCUCAUAACAAGACCUCAGGUGAUUCAUAUGUACAUUACCUUUUUUUUUUUUUUGGAUGCUGGGGAUUGAACCCAGAGCCUCGUGCAUGCUAAGCAUGUACUCUACCUCUGAGCUACACCCACAGCAACACUUACCCUGGGAAUUGAACCCCAAAUCUUGUGUGGGCUCAUAAUAUAGCUUAAGAAGCAUUGGUUAGAGAAUCUGCUGUGUUUGGGAUUGUCUGCUAGACAGGAAAUUCAUCAUUUUGAUCUCAGCAUUUUGGGAUACUGAAUUAGAGUUAGAAUUAUGAGACCAGGGCUGUAGUCUAGUUUUCCCGGUCCAGUCAUUUCUAGAACUCUCUUUCUGCUUCCUUCUAGUGGUUUAAUUACGUGACUUGUAAGGCCCCAAGUGUCUCUAACAUUGGAUAAUUUUAAGGAAUUUCAGUUGAAGCAAAGGAAAAAAAUAAAGCCCAGCUGCUGUUUAAUAAAGACUGUCAUAAAUUGCUUACCGAACCUCUGCGGCUUCAUCUUUUCGACUGUGAUGGAGGGUAUUGUCCAUGCAUCCAAGUUCACUGUAGGGUCCUUUGUGAUAGCCCAAAUGAAAAGUAAUUUCCUGUUUAAUAAUAAUUAUAGCUUUUGCAUUGAGGAGGAAGAAUAUUUGAUAAGAAAAGAAAAUUAUUGCUCCAAAGAAAUGAUGUUUAAAGCGGCAGGCAGCCAGGAGCUUCUAAAUCAUUUGUAUCAGUUAUUAGUUCAUACUACAAUGAUUAGCAAGUUUUUUUUUUAAUUUGGAAAUCAUAGCUAAUUGGGUUGUUUUGGUGUGUAAGAGUUUUUCAUUUUUUUUUUUGUUUUGUUUUUAGAAAAGAGAAAUUGGUCUCUUGAAAACAAAAACCAUCCAUAAACACACACACACACACACACACACACAUCCUUGACAUUCUGAAUGCAAAUCACGUGUGGUGUGGACCAAAGAGAAUACAAAGACCCAGGACUUAAGAACAUGUUUCAGGCAGGGUGAAGUGGUGCACACCUGUAAUCCCAGUAGCUCGGGAGGCUGAGGCAGGAGGAUCAUGAGUUCAAAGCCAGCCUCAGAAAUGGUGAGGUGCUAAACAAAUCACUGAGACCCUGUUUCUAAAUAAAAUAGAAAAUAUUUCAGGUGGAUAUUGGCAAGGUCUCCUUCCCCUUGUGCUUCAGGUCUGCUGUCUUGAAAGUGACUGGAUUGAACCUCUCCAUCCUGCAUAUUAAUGGCUGCUUCCUCUGAGAGAGGAUGCCUGGAAGUUUGGGUAGAGAAGAACACAGGGUCUGAAUCAACCUCAGGAGGAAAGAUGUGAUUGAUUAGUAAUGUCUGCUCUGGACGAGGGAGUAGUAGCAACCAUGGUAGCCCCACUUGUUUGCAAACUCCUGAGCUAGGAAACCUCCAAGAGCAUUGACUACUAUAAAUAUCUCAUCCUGAAAACAUUUAUAAAAGACUUUUAUUAUAAGAAAAAAAACUCAAAAGAAAUAAACUGAUUUCUAGAUUUACUAUGGCUAUUUUGGAGUCUUUUAACAACUUGAAAUAUAUGUGUGUGUUUCUGUCUUAAAAGCACCACACAGGACAAGCUCUAAGGGAAAGAAAAAUGUGGCUGGAUUUAACAGAAAUUCAGCGUGAGAUAUCUGAUAGGCUGAAAGUGAUUUAUGCAAUGAAUCCUCUGUUUUGUUAGAACAUAGAUUAUUGUUCCAUUUGGGGCCCUUUAUAUGAAACAGAUGCCCUAGUCUAUAAAUCAGGUACUCAGCGGUAAAGGCAAUGGUAUUUUUUUUUUUUGGUAUAAAUUACUGUGGAUCGAGGAAGUUAAGGUGUGGAGGAACAAAUUUUUAUUGACUUUUUGGCAUAGCACUCAUUUUAUCAAUCAUCCGUCUGCGGUGAUCUUCCUCUGUCCUCGUUCAGGGAAUUGGUGACAGGAAUGAGUAGAAAGUUCUGUGGAGAAAGUUGUUCUUUGACCUGACGAGUCUCUCCUUGGGUUUCACAGGACUGGGUAGGUAUGUGGACUGCUCUCAGCCCUAGUGAGAAAGCAUUUGGCUUUCAGAUUCAUUUGUAGCCCCCAAAAGGAAACAAGAUAAAAGUAUGCCAAGAACCUCAGAGAAAGAACACACUUAGAGUGUUCCUCUGUCAUUUUCUUCCCUGGUCUACUUUUCUUUCCCAUUUAAAAAUUGGAAUUCAUGGUUUUCAGCUCUUGCCUUCAUUGUUGGAUUGUCUUUUUAUGGAGACAGCUAGUUAUCAUUCCCUCUGAGCUGGAGAGAAGCAAAUUCAUUCAUUUAUUUAUCCAUUUAGUAAAAAAUAUUCACGCCAGCCUGGCGUGGUGGCACAUGCCUGUAGUCCCAGGGGCUCAGGAGGCUGAGGCAGGAGGAUCACAAGUUCAAAACCAGCCUCAGCAAUUUAGCAAGGCCCUAAGCAACUCAGGGAGACCCUGUCUCUAAAUAAAAUAUAAAAAAGGACUGGGGAUGGGGCUCAGUGGUUAAACACUCCUGGGUUCAAUCCCCAGUACCAAAAAAAAAAAAAGAAAAGGAAAGAAAGAAAAAGAAAAUGGUCUGAGGUUGUGGCUCAGCAGUAGAGUGCUUGCCUGGUACAUGUGAGACACAGGGUUCAAUCCUCAGCACUACAUAAAAAUUAAUAAAUAAAAUAAAGGUAUUGUGUCCAUGUACAACUAGAACAAUUUAAAAUCAAAUUCAUUUCACUCUCCAAUGGAGAGUAAUUCAUGUGGCUGGCCACCUAGGUUCUAUGCUAUGUGAGAUACGUAAGGUGUGUAGUGACCCAGGGCCACAAAUCCAUUCAAAAUGGUAAGCAAUUCAAAUAUGGGUUCUUAGCGAUUUUGGAAGUCCUUCUUCAUUUUAGAAGAUGGGUUCUUAUCGAUUUUGGAAGUCCUUCUUCAUUUUAGAAGAUGUUAAUACUUUUCUCUAUUUUGAUUUUUAUUAUUUGAGUUGGUAAUGUAUUCACAAGGUUCAAAAUAAAAAAUGUAAUCAGAGGAAUUAUUCUAAUUCCUAACCCUGAAUAUUUAAUUUUCCUCCCUUCUGGCUUCCUUCUGUUUUUUUUUUUUGGCACUGGGAAUUGAACCCAGGGGUGCUUAACCACUGAGCCACAUCCCCAGCCCUUUUUAUUUUUUAUUUUGAGAUGAAGUCUUGCUAAGUUGCUUAGGGCUUUGCUAAACUGCUGAGGCUGGCCUUGAACUCAUGAUCCUCCUACCUCAGCCUCUUGAAUUGCUGGGGUUAUAGGCAUCCACCACUACACCUGGUUUAUAACCACUCUUAUUCAUUUUGUGUGUAGCCUGGUGUUUAUUUAUUUAUUUGCAGAUAUAAAUUUAUCAUGAUUUCUUCUCCUUUUUUAUAGAAAUGAAGACAUUCCAUAUUGUUUUUGCAUCUUCUUUUUCAUUGAAUGGUUUUCCUGAGCUAUUUCCACAGGCCAUAGAGAACAUCAUUCUCUCUUUUGUAGCUAUUUAAUAUGAUGUACCACUUCUUUUUUAACUCACACACCUUUAGAUGGACACUGGGGCAUUUCGAGUCUUCUGCUCACGCACACAACUCUGCAAUCGGUAACAGGGUGAGUCUGUCACUUCACUUAGAGCUGGUUUAGGUUAUAGCUAUAAAACGUAUUCCCAGGAGUAAAAUUGCUGAGCAAAAAAAAAAAAUCAAUGCAUUUGCAAUUUUGAUGGGGAUUGCCAAUUAACUCCCCAAAGGGUUGCACCACUUUGUGUUCCUGCCAGCCAUGAGUAAGAGUGCAUUAUUCUGCUAUUUAUACAGAAUAUUUUGCAAAAUUUUGGGGCUGGAUUUUUGCCAAUAUAAUAGGUGAAAAAUGUUAUCCCUUAGAGUCUCGACUUGCAUUUUUCUUAUUUUUAGCCAAGUUGAAUAUCUUUUGUAUAUGGUUAAAAGUAAUUUCUAUUUCUUUCUCUGUGACCUGUCAGUGUUUCUCAUUCAUAGAAAUUGCUUUGAGAGUAUUUUUUCCCCGACUGUUUCUCGGAGAAAAGUCAACUCAUCUUGAUGAAUAUUUAACCUAAGGAUCUAAACUAAAUCCCUUCCAAUGCAUACUUGUUCAAGUCUUGCAGCGAGCCUGGAAGUUGGGUAGUCCCAGUCCAUUUUCAAAAAGAGGUUCAGAAUAGUUAUGCAACUGGCCUUGGGCCACACAGUCAGGAAGAGGCAAAACUGAUGUUCUGAUCCAAGUCAGCCUUACCACUAAAGUCUAUCUUUUUUGUUGUUGUUGUUGUUGGGGAGUUACCUGGAAUUGAACCAGGGCACUUAGCCACUGAGCCACCUCUCCAGCCCUAUUUUGUAUUUUAUUUAGAGACAGGGUCUCACUGAGUUGCUUAGUGCCUUAUUUUUGCUGAGGCUGGCUUUGAACUGAAGACUUCCUGCCUCAGCCUUCUACGCCACUGGGAUUACAGACAUGUGCCACUGUGCCCAGCCCUAAAGUCUAUCUUUUCAUUUUAUUUUUUUGUUUUUGUUUUUGUGGUAUUGGUUCUUGAACCCAGAGGGACUCUAUCACUGAGCCCUUUUUACUUGGAGGCAGGGUCUCACUAACUUGCCCAGACUGGCCUCACACUUGGAAUCCUCCUGCCUUAGCCUCCCAAGAUGACAGGUGUGUACCAUCAUGCUUGGCUCUAUCUGGUAUUACUGUUGGUAUUAGGUAUGGAUCAGAAUUAACUCCAACAGAUUUAAAUUUCCCAAACACACAAAGUGAUGGAGAAGCACGUUGCUACCUUCAUGCUGGGUGGCACAUGUCGGUCCUUCUAGGAUCUAAAACACACCAUGUAUAAUCCACUGUUUUAGUUAGCUUUUUUGCUACUGUGACCAAAAGACCCAACAAGAACAAUUUUAAGGGAGGAAAAGUUUAUCUGGGGGCUCAGGGUUUCGGAGGCCCCAGUCCAUAGACAGCAGGGUCCAUUCCUUAGGGCUCGAGGGGAGGCAGGACAUCAUGGAGGAAGAGUGUGGUGGAGGGAAGCAGCUCACAUGGUGAUCAGGAAGCAGAGAGAGACUCCACUCUCCAGAGACAAAUAGAGACCCCAAAGCCACGCCCCCAAUGCCCCCUCCUCCAGCCACACCCGCCUGCCUCCAGCCACCACCCAGUUAAUCCCAUCAGGGAUCCAUUCACUGGUUGGGUUAAGGCUCUCACAACCCAGUCAUGUCCUCUCUGAGCCUUCUUGCACCGACUCACAUGUGAGCUUUUGGGAGACACCUCACAUCCACACCCUAACAUCUCCCUAGUGAAUAAUUACCAGAGUGACUGAUGCCCAUCCCAGGGAGGUCUUAUGACUGUGAGACCAUGGGGAACAGCAAUGACAAGCAGCUGGACUACACAGGAAAAGGCUCUCAGGGAGGCAGGUGUCACGAAGCUCUCGUGGCCACUGUGAAGCAGGCCCAAGGUCACACUGCACCAAGGGCCUCUUCCCAUGCAGAGCCACAGCAUCUUCAGGGUUGCUGUCCCCUCUGCCUCUGCUGCUGCUGCUGUGGGGAACCUUGGGUCCCAGGCAUGCCUGCGGUCCCUCACAGAGGUCCUUUCCCGACAGCUUGGCCUCACACCUGGAGGCCCAGUCGUGCUCUGGAAGGACAGUCUCCCUUCCCAGGAGUCUGCUCUGUUUAAAAUUGCUUGUGCUGCAGAUGAAAAAUUGAACUAGCCCCCAAAGAGAGAAAUAGAUAAAACUCGGUUCCUUUGUGGCAUUUGACAAAUCUGCAAGAUUCCAAGCAAGUGCAUUGCUAAAUGAUUAAAACCCCAGGUUCUGCCCUCUGGGAAUAAGUGUGAGAGAGGGUGAUAUUACUGCUGAAUAAUGUAACCACUGCAGUUUUCUGCCAGAUCAGAAAAACAAAACAAACAAACAAAAUAGCCAGGAUGCCCUUUUUCACUCUAUUUACCAACUACGUUCUAGAAGCCAUCUUCCUUCCGGCAAGUUUCCCCAUUUUCCUUCACUUUAAUUUAUUGUGACUCAAUGAAAUAUGAAUCUGGAAGAUUUAGGUUUUCUUAAAGCAACAGUCAUGCUUUUAUGCAAAGCAGCAGAUGUGGAUGAGGUUGGGUGUAACCAGACUUUAGAAGACUCUCCUUGUGCUAGACACACACCUAUGAUCCCAGCAGCUCCCCAGCACCUCCUCCACCAUCCCCACCCCCUGAAAAAAAGAAGAGACUCAGAGGAGGCAGGAAUGAUGCCAAUCACUCACACUCAGGAGGGGAGCAGAAAUGAAUUUGGUUUUGAUGACUAUUUUUAUUUAUUUAUUUUGCAGAACUGGGGAUGGAAUCCAGGCCCUUACGUGUGCUAGGCGAGCGCUCUACCAUUGAGCUACAUCCCCAGCCUUUUUUUUUUUUUCCAGGUAGACAGGAUCUUGCUAAAUUGUCAAGGCUGGGCUCUAACUUGGGAUCCUCCUUUCUCAGCCUCCCGAGUUGCUGGGAUUUCAGUGCACCAUCACACCCAACUUGCUGAGAAUUGACUACUUCUGUAGUCUCUGCCAUUCUGUUUUUAUGAAUGUGUUUGAUGACAGCGGAAGCAGAAGUGUCCUCAGCAGACAGGGAUUAUUUUGGUUGCUCUUCAUCUGGCCUGUGAGUGGCAAAAACACAGAAAGGUGGCUUUGACAGGAGAAGCCUGCACAGCAUGCCCAAGAUGGAAGCCCUCCCCCUGUGUCUCUGACCUGCGUGUUGUUGGGGCAUGGCUGCUCCAAUUCCAUAGUAGUUAAGCAAUUGCAAAGGUGAGGUCAGAAAGGGCCAGAAGAAAGAGAGGUUCCCUCGGGCACCCCAUCACAUCAGCCUGUCCACUUUCCCAGCUAACUGAGGUCACCUUGUGUCUUUGCUUCCUUGUGGGGUGUCUGUUUCCUCCCAACAGAAAUAAACUUCCAGGGCUUGGGGACUUCGUCUUAUUGGUCACUGCUCUCCCCUCCCCCCACAGCUCAUGCUCUGUAGACCUACAUUAAACAUCUUUCUAGUGAGUUCCAGAACAAAAUUGUUUCCCUUGGAGACACUGAAAGGGUUAAUCUGUGUAUUCCUCAGAGGGCUUUGCACAUAGUAGGACCUCACAGGAAACACCUGAAGCCAACACUUGAAUAAUGAACAGAAGUUGUGCCCUUCAGCUCGGAUUAGUGCCAGUAAGAAUAAAGGUUGAGGGGCUGAGGUUGUGGCUCAGUGGUAGAGCGCUUGCCUUGCAUGUGUGAGGCACUGGGUUCCAUCUUCAGCACCACAUAAAAAUAAAUAUACAAAAUAAAGGUAUUGUGUCCAUCUACAACUAAAAAACAACAACAACAACAGCAAAAAAAAGAAUAAAGGUUAAGCCAGGCAUGGUGGUGCCUGUAAUCCCAGUGGCUCGGGAGGCUGAGGCAGGAGGAUCGCAAGUUCAAAGCCAGCCUCCACAACUUAGUGAGGUCCUAGGCAACUCAGUGAGACCCCAUCUCUAAAUAAAAUGCAAAAUAGAACAGGGGAUGUGGCUCAGUGGUUACUUGCCUUCGGGCUCAAUCUCUAGUACCAAAAAAAAGAAAAGAAAAAAGAAAGAAAGAAGAAUGGUUGACAGCCAUUAGCCAAGGAAUACACAGUGCUGUACACGCCUCAUUCACCCUGUUUACUUCUCUAGCAACCCACCAACAGGAAGUAGUAGUCAUAGUGUGAUUCUAAUUGUGAUCAUAAAGAAAUUGGACUUCACAGAAGUGAUUAACUUGUCCCUAGGGAUACCACUGAACAAUGACAGGUCCCGGGUUUGAAGCAGGUGUAUGCGAUUUGGAGGAUGGUGGUCUGCAUCCUAGAGUGUGUGUGGCCCACAGGGAGGAUGGCUGGGCUCUGUGGGCAGCUGAUUCCAGGGUUCCUGGACUAGUUGGAGUAGGAGAUGUCAGAGGGAGACUGCUCUCUGUGGGUGGGGAAGAGAUAGGAAGAAGCACCUGUGAAGGAAUUGCUUUGUCAUUCCCCAGGGACUCAGGAAGCCUCUGUCUGAACUUGUCCUAUUACUGUAUGAUGAUCAGUGAUGGACGUUCCACUUCAAUUAAAGGGAAAGUUAAUGAAGUGAAACCCAAAAGUUGGCAAAGGAGGAAAAAAAAAUUGAGCUGACUGAUACUUAAAGGCUAUCCUUGAAGUUUUUCUUCUAACAUUUGAAGUCGUAUUUUUUCUUUUUACAAAGAUCUGUGUCUCUGAGUGCAGUGGCACAUGCCUGUCAUCCCAGUGAGUGGGGUUGAGGCAGGAUAGCAAUUUCAAGACCAGCCUCAGCAAUUUAGCAAGACCUGUCUCGGAAUGAUAUUAAAGCCAAGCACAGUGGCACAUGCCUGUCAUCUCAGUGGCUUGGGAGGCUGAGACAAGGAGGAUCACGAGUUCAAAGCCAGCCUCAGCAAAUUUUUACCGAGGCUCUAAACAAUUUAGCAAGACCCUUUCUCAAAAUAAAAAAAUGAGAGGAGUUGGGGAUGUGGCUCAGUAGUUAAGCACCCCUGAGUUCAAUUCCUGGUACCAAUAAUAAUAAUAAUAAUAAUUUUUAAAAAUAAUAAAAAAUAAAAAGGACUGGGGAUGUAACUCAGUGGUUGGGUGCCUCUGGAUUAAAUCCUUAAUUCUUCUACUCACAUGACUAAGUUUCUAAAGUUUUGUUUCAUUAGGCAUUUUUUAAAAUAGAGGCAGCUAAAAAUCAUGAUCAUACAUAAUAAAAGUUUUUCACAAUGACAGCUAUAAAAAUAGGUUGAAAUUAUGCUGGGUGUUGUGAUGCAUGCCUGUAACCCCAGGGAGUUGGGAGGCUGAGACAGGAAGAUUGCAAGUUCAAAGCCUCCCUGGGUAAGCUUAGUUAGGUCUGUCUCCAAAAUAAAAUUUUUUUAAACAGGGAAAUGGCUUGGGUUAUCUCUCCUUGGUAGAGCAACCCUAGGUUCAAUCCACAAACUAAUGCCAAAAAACAAAACAAAAAUAAUUGAAAUUUACUUGAAAGAAAAAUUGUCAAACCAGGUGUGGUGGCACAUGCCUGUCAUCUCAGUGGCUCAGGAGGCUGAGUCAGGAGGAUCGUGAGUUCAAAGCCAGCCUCAGCAAAAGCAAGGUGCUAAGCAACUCAGUGAGACCCUGUCUCUAAAUAAAAUACAAAAUAGGGCUGAGGAUGUGGCUCAGUGGUGGAGGCCCCUGAGAUCAAUCUCUGGUACCCCCCCUACAUCCCCCCAAAAAAGUUUAAAAAUCUUCCCCUUUUUUUUUUUCCAGUACUGGGGAUAGAACUCCAAAAUCCUCCUGUUUGAGUCAGUGUGGGAGAAGAAGAAACAUCCUAGACUUAGAAGUCAGACACAGCCAUCUUUGAAACGCUAGCUUUGCCAGUUUCUGGCUGGGGGGGCCAAUGUCUUCUCACUACUCUGGGACUUGGUUUUCUCAUCUUAAGGAGAAAGGGUAUUAAAAUCUCUAUUAUCGUGCCAUGAAGAAUCAAUGAAACCUUAAAAAUCACCUCAUAUGGUGUGUGUCAAUUAUAAGCACCCUUUAAGUGCUGAAUUGUGCUAUAAAUAUGACAUUUGAAGUCUCUUCUGGGGACUCGUUAUAUUUAUUGAUAGCACCAUGAUGAUAAAUGGUACAUUCUCAACUUUUAUUAGGAGCCUAGUUCAAUGUAAAUCACCGAACCUACUUAGUUUUACUUGUCCAAGGUUGAUUUGUGUGUGGCUUUUAAAACAUAUUUCUUUAAAUUCAGCGAUAACAUACCUACAGCAAAGUGCACAAUGUAAGUGUUCACUGCUCCUUGGAAUUUAAAUAUGUAUGUACCCAUGUACCCCCAACCCAGCGCCAUGGAGAAAAUAUUUCCAACACUCCAGGUUUCUUUUUAAUUUUCUUUCAUUUUCUUUUUUUAGUUGUAGAUAGACACAAUACCUUUAUUUUAUUUUUAUGUGGUGCUGAGGAUGGAACCCAGGGCCUCACACAUGCAAGGCAAGCGCUCUACCACUGAGUCCCAACCCCAGGCCACUCCAGUUUCUGGUUGGUAUUUCCCCAGGUGUAACCAAUAUUCUUUAAUGACUUCAUUUUAACUUUUCAUUUCAAAACAAUUUCAGCCUUGCCAAAAACAUAUAUAAUAUAUAUUACACAUAUAUUAUAUAAUGUAUUACAAUACAUAAUAUGGAUAUAUUAUAUAUAAUGUGUAUAUUAUAAUAAUCAACAUAUUACACAUGCAAAGCAGUCUGAAGAGUUCCUGCCUGCCCUUCACCAGUAUUUCCCAAGUCACCGGACAAUGAUCUAGACCAGGAAAUCAACAUGGAUAUAAUCCUGCCAUCUAUUCUAUAGACCUUAUUGUCUUUUCCCCAACUGUUUCUCGAGGGUCAUCUUUCGGGUCCAGGGUCCAGGCCAAGUCCAUGCAUUUUAUCUUAGUCAUCUCUCUUUUCUCUGUUCCAAUCUGGGGUAGUCGCUCCAUUCUUUCUUUCAUGAGUUUUUUGUUCUAUUGAUUGAUUGAUUGAUUGUAUCAGGGAUUGAACUGAGGGUUGCUUAACCACUGAGCCCCAUCCCCAGCCCCUUUUUAUGUGUUAUUUAAAGACAGGGUCUCACUGAGUUGCUUAGGGCCUUGCUAAGUUGCUGAGGCUGGCUUUGAACUUGAGAUCCUCCUGCCUCAGCCUCCGGGGGCCACUAGGAUUACAAGAGUGUGCCAUCACACCUGACUCAUGACAUUUAAAAAAAAGACUGGCCAGUGGUUUUGUAUAUUGUUCCUUAAUUUGAGUUUGUGUAAUGUUUCCUCAAGGUGAAAUGCAGGCUGCGUACAUUUGGCAAUAACACAACAGACACAUGCUUCUUAGCGCUUGCUAUCCAGAGAUGCGUAUCCAUAUCUGUUACUGGUGAUAUGGACCCUUGAUUAUUAAAUGAAGAUGGGGUCUGUUGGAUUUCACCACUGUAAAACUGUCAUUUUCUCUUUUCUCAUUAAUAAGCGUCUUGUUGGGAAGACAUUUUGUGGUCAUGCAAAUGUGCUGUCACUCAGGGUACACCUGCCCCCUACUCUGGGCUCCAUUAUUACUGUGUGCCGACAAUGAUUCUCUAGUUUUGCUGUUCCUUCUAUAUUUAUGACCUGGAAUUUCUGUUGUAAGGAAGAGCUGCCCCAUCUCUAUUUUUAUUAUCCAGGUAUUUAUUUACCUAUUUUUAGUUUAUUCAUUAAAUGUUAUUUAGUAAAUGAAAUUUAUUUUUUUUAAAUUUUUUAUUUGUUUUAAUUAGUUAUACAUGACAGUAGAAUGCAUUUAUGCACUUUGAUAUAUCAUACAUAGAUGGGAUAUGAUUUCAUUUUUCUGAGUGUACAUGCUGCAGAAUCCUAUUGGUCAUGCAGUCACAUAUACACAUAAGUAAUAAUGUCUGUUUCAUUCUACUAUCUUUCCUAUCCUCACAUCCCCUCCCCUCCCCUCCCUUCACUUCCCUCUAUCUAAUCUAAGGUAACACUAUUCUUCCCUAGUGCCCCCCACCUUAUUGUGAAUUAGCAUCCACAUAUUAGAGAAAACAUUCAGCCUUUGGUUUUGUGGAAUUGGCUUAUUUUGCUUAGCAUGAUAAUCUCCAACUCCAUCCAUUUACUGGCAAAUGCCAUAAUUUCACUCUUCUUUAAAGCUGAGUAAUAUUCCAUUGAGUAUAAAUACCACAUUUUCUUUAUCCAUUCAUCUAGAGGGACACUUAGGUUGGUUCCAUAGUCCAGCUAUUGUGAAUUGAGCUGCUAUAAACAUUGUGUGGCUGCUUCACUGUAGUGUGCUGACUUAAGGUCCUUUGGGUAUAAACCAAGGAGUGGGAUAGCUGAGUGCAAUGGUGGUUCCAUUCCCAAUUUUCUGAGGAAUCUCCAAACUGCUUUCCAUAUUGGUUGCACCAAUUUGCAGUCCCACCAGCAAUGUAUAAGUGUACCUUUUCCCCACAUCCUCGCCAACAUUUAUAGUUGUCUGUAUUCUUGAUGAUUGCCAUUCUGACAGGACUGAGAUUAAAUAGUUUUGAUUUGCAUUUCUCUAAUUGCUAGAGAUGUUGAACACUUUUUCAUAUAUUUGUUGAUCAAUUGUAUUUCUUCUUCUGUGAAGUGUCUGUUCAGUUCCUCAGCCCAUUUAUUGAUUGGGUUAUUUGUUUCUUUGGUGUUACGUUUUUGAGUUCUUUAUAUAUUCUAGAGAUUGAUGCUUUAUCGGAGGUACAUGUGGUAAAGCUUUUCUCCUAAUAUGUAGGCUCUCUUCGUGCUAUUAAUUGUUUCCUUUGCUGAGAAGAAGCUUUUUAAUUUGAAUCCAUACCAUUUAUUGAUUCUUGAUUUAAAUGAAAUUUAUUUUAAUGAAUAAACUUUAUUUCAUUGAUUUCUUUUGUAUCAUAUGCUUGGUAUACUUAUUUACAAGUGAUUCACUUGUCUCAUAUCAGCCUGUAUUCAUAGAUUUUUAUUUCAUGUGUGAUAGUCUAUAUUACUAUGCAUAUUCCAUUGGUCAGAUUGUCCCAGCUGUGCUCAUUGGGACCGCCUUCAAGUGGGCUCCUGUGUCCUUUAAACACCCGCCACCAUUCCAAAUUUCUUUUGUAGGGUGGUAGCAGGGAUUGAACUCAGAUGCCCUGGACUACUGAGCCCCAUCCUCAGCCCUAAUUUAUAUUUUAUUUAGAGACAGGGUCUCACUGAGUUGCUUAACACCUCACUUUUGCUGAGGCUGGCUUUGAACUCAUAAUCCUCCUGCCUCAGCCUCCCGAGCUGCUGGGAUUGCAGGUGUGUGCCACCACCGUGCCCAGCUCAUUCUACAUUUUUUUAAAAAAUAUUUAUUUGGUUGUAGAUGAACACACAGUAUCUUUGUUUAUUUAUUUAUUUAUUUUAUGUGGUGCUGGGUUGGGGAUUGAACCCAGCACCUCACACAUGCAAGGCAAGCACUUUACCAUUGGGCUACAGCCCCAGCCCCUCUACAUUUUUAAAAUUAGUUUAGAACUUAUCUACAUUCUGGAAUCACCUGGUGUUCCAGGCUCAGCUGGUGCUUUUCCUUUCCAGCCCUAGAAUCAAUAUCUCAUCCAUAAUAUGUUACUUGAGCUAGGGAUGGACCUCAGGGGUAGUGCAUGUGCAAAAGACCCCGGGUUCCAAGCCCAGCACCGAAAUAAUAACAACAAUAAUAUAUUCACUAACUAACUUGCUCAGUCUCUGGAAACAUAUUGCAAUACUGGCUUCCAGUUUGCUGGUUGUCUUUUGACUUUGUUCACAGUCUCUGGAAACAUAAUAUCUCCUCAGAAUCACUAAUCCAUAUCCCUCUGAAAAUCAAAUUGAACCAGAGUUUAGCACUUGUGUGCAGUUUUUAGUCCUGUAAUAUGCACUAAAAACACUCUUAUUUAGUAUGUCUGUCCUGUCCCCACCUUUACCCCCAGUGACGUUGUCAAUUGUAACAUAAGUUCAUUUGUUGCUGUUUUUUUUUUUUUUAACUCCCUUUGGUGUCCCCUCCCUCCUGGCUGAUUUCAAUCAUGCUUUUAUUUUUUGAGAAUUAACAAGGUUAAUCCUUCACAUGGCUUCAUUUUGAACUUCCUCCUUUUUUUUUCUGUCUAGUGCCAACAGUGCCCCAUUGUUCAUUAUCCAGUGCUCCCCUACACGUGGCCUUGUAGGUGGUUUCCAUUCUUUUGCAAUGACAAACCACACGAUAAUAACUUGUGUGGAGCUAGGUACUCGGGCUGUUGGAAAUGGGUCACCAGGGGAAAUUUCUAGAAGGGGAAUUGCAGAGUCAAGAGACAGGUGCACAUAUUGUUUCGUUGGGUGAUCCAAAUUCUUCUUCCACCAGCAACGGAGGACCCUGCCCACUUCCCCACAGUCUCACUGACCCCGUGAUUUGUCAUAAUUUCUAAAUUUCACAAACCUGGCAGUUAAGAAAUGGUAUUUUGGAUUCAUUUUUAUUUAGAGUCAUCCAAUGAGGAGGGAGUUUAAACAUCUUAUGUUGAGUUUCAGGGACGUGUGUGUGUGUGUGUGUGUGUGUGUAUCACACAUACGUACAGUUACGUAGGGGGUUUUUGUAGAGAAUUAGGGGUCAUCGUACCCUCCCCCUUCUUUUAUUAGGCUUUCAAGCUAAUUAAAAAUGUUCCUUAUGUGUCAGAGACCUUAUUCUUUAAUGAUACUUAUUGCAAAUACUUGCUUCCAGUUUUCUGGUUGUCUUUUGACUUUGUUCAUGGCAUUUUUUUUGUUAUGCAAAAAUUUUUAUGUUCUACAGUCAAAUUUAUCACUUGUAUUGGCUCUGGAGUGGAGUCUUUAUUAUAAAUUCUAUCCCUACAUUAAGGUUUGUGAAGAAUUCACCCAUGUUUUCUGGGGAAUCCACCAGCAAUGGUACUUGUGUGGUUUUACUUUUUUUCCAUUUAUUUCUUGAUAUGUUUGGAGAUUAUUUGUGGGUAUGGUGGGAAAUAUGUGUUUAGUUUUUUCUCUUUCAGUUGACUUUAUAGUUAUCUCAACACCAAUCUCAGCAACAUUUGGAUAAAAUGAAUUGAGGUGCUAUCGUUAUCAUAGACUCAAAUUUUCUAUAUACUUGGACCUAUUUAGGGGCAUUUUAUUCCACUAGACUAUUUGUCUUUUCUUUUGAUUGUAACACACCAUGUUUGUUUUUUUUUUUUUGGUAGCAGGGAUUGAACUCAGGGGCACUCCACCACUGAGCCACAUUCCCAGCCCUAUUUUGUAUUUUAUUCAGAGACAGGGUCUCACUGAGUUGCUUAGGGCCUCACUAAGUUGCUGAGGCUGGCUUUGAACUCACCAUCCUCCUGUCUCAUCCUCCAGAUCUGCUGGGAUUACAGGCGUGCACCACUGCACCUGGCUAUAACAUGCUAUUUUGAUUAAAAAAAAAAAAGUCUAUUUUUCUGGUAGGGCUAGUUCACUUCAUUUUCAUUGUUGUAUAGUGUCCCUAGGAAAGAAACUGCUGUUACAGGAUAUGUGUAUGUUUAGCUCUAGGAAAUAUUACCAAGCAGUUUUCCAAAUGUUUUACUGAUUUAUAGUCGCACAGCUAUGUAUGAGAUUUUCUAUUGCUCCACAGUAUUGCCAGCACUUGGUAUUGCCAGUGUUCGAAGUUGCCUCAAAAGAAAACAUAGAAAGAUCCUUCUUCCUCUUGAGACUCAGGCACCAUUUCAAGAAUACCCUAGAAGCUCAGCCCAGUGUCACAUGUCUAUAACCCUAGUGGCCCGGGAGGCUGAGGCAGGAGGAUGACAAGUUCAAAGCCAACCUCAGCAACUUAGGGAGGCCAUAAGCAACUCAGUGAGACCCUGUCUCUAAAUAAAAUACAGAAAAGAGAUGCAGAUGUGGCUCAAUGGCUAAUCGUCCUUGGGUUCAAUCCCUGGUACAAAAAAAAACAAAACAAAAAACACUAUAGAAAGGAAGAAUAGCAGGGUUCAUUUUUCCAUACACCUAACAUGUUAUCACUCAUAACAGUGAUAAAACUUAGGUUUCAUAGGAAGAUACAGCGAAGCUGUUAUGAGCCUAGAUCCAAUGUAACGGAUAGUUUGGUAUCUGUUCCAAAGCUAUUUCUUCCCUCUUCCUUUCUAGUGGGACCUCAGUUUUGUUCAGUGUGCAUUCUUCAGAGCCAAUGAUCUCACUGCCUGCACAAAGGGCAAAUCCUGGAUAACCUAGCUAAUCUGGCUCUCUCACCAGCAAUUAGGUUAGGAAGGAGCAUGUGACCUGCUCUGGCCAACCUGAUGAGGACCGGGCUCUGGGGGAGAGAAGGGAUCCCACGAGGCUUCCUUAGUGACAGGAAGGAGGCCCUAGAGGAGGCAGUGCCUUUCUUCCUGUGGAUGUGAUGAGGCUGGAAAUGGGAGAGGCAGCUGCCAUCUGUCCACCAGCCUGACAUGGAGCAAACCCUUGAAAGAGUCAAAACAAAUGGAGACCUGGGGAUGUGGGUGGCUCAGUGGUAGAGUGCUCACCUGGUGUGUCUGCAGCAGGCAGUUCAAUCCCCAGCACUGCCAAAAAAAAUAUAUAUAUAUAUAUAUAUAUAUAUAUAAAAUAUUAAAUAUUAUUAAUCAAAUACAAUAUUAAAUUAAAUAUAAUAUGUUUAUAUUUAAUUAAUUUGAUGUUAAAGUUUUAAUUUAAUAUUUUAAUUUAAUUAAAUGUAAUCAUAUUUUAAUAUUAAAAUUUAUAUUAAAUUAUAUAUUAAAUAUAUAUAUAUAUAGAGAGAGAGAGAGAGAGAGAGGAAGAGAGAGCCUUAAAUUCAGGGCCUAAAACCUGCUCUAGCCAAGUUUCAGUCAAGUAAUAAAUCACUAAUUGUUUAAGACCAUCUGGGCUGCAUUUUUCUAUUCCUUGGCAUUGGACUUUGUUAGAAUAACAAAAGGAGGAAAUGGUGUUCUUACUCAUCCCUCCCAAACAUGAACAAUAACCUCUUUGUUCUAAGACCCCUGGUUCUUCACAUAGAGCAUUACAAUUACCUGGAAGGAGAAAAAGACCAAAAAAAAAAAAAAAAAACUACAACAAAACAAAACAAACCGAUCUAACAAAUUGAAAAACAAAACCAAAAAAUCCAAUAAACUUGAAAAAAAAAAAAAAGCAACACUAAAAACAAAACCAAAAAUCCAAUAAACUAAAGCAAAAUAAAACAAACAAGCAAGAAAACCCCAAACCAAAGGAAUUACCUGAAGGACUUAUUCAAACAGUUUACUAGAUUCUACUACUUGAGUUUCUAAUUUAGAGGCCUAAAGUAAGUCAGUGACCUGCAUUUCUGGCAAGUUACCAAGUAAUACUGCCUACUGGUCCCGAGACCACACUCUGAGAGCCACUGUUCUAGGAUACAGAUAAGAUACUGCCUGACUAUGUUGAUUAACAUGCUUUGUCCAGGUUCAUAUAUCAUGGACUUCAUCUUCAUGUCAAGAAAUACACAUUGGACCUGGGCAUGUAGCACAAUGAUAGAGCUUUUGGGUAGAUCGUAUGUGGUCCUGGGUUCAAUCCUCAGCUCUGCAAAACAUAGAAAUAGAAAUUUUUAUCAUCCUUUUGCAUGACUACCUGCUACUAUAUGGUACAGAUACUGGAAUUUGUCUGACCAUGUUACUAAUAAUAGCCACAUCUGUUAUUCUGUUUUUCUGGAUUAUUACAUCAACAUAAUCUAUCCUGCAGUAGUACCAUUGUAUAUGAAUCCUGGUUUGGUAAUUGCCAUAGGGUAAAUUCCUAAAAGUAGAAUUGCUAGAUCAAAGGGAAAUGUUAGUUUAUUUUCUUAUGUCAUGGUCAUAAUCCAUCCAAUCUCCCAUCAAGUCUCCCCUUCUACAUACAUUACCCUUAGCCUUAGGUCUUUUGUGGGGGAACUUUUGGUCUAUUUUGCCUUAGCUGGCCAGAACACAAGCCAUUUGCCUUGAGCAGUCUUUCCUUCAUGCUAAAGAAUUGGAGCACAAAAGACCAGGGCACACUUGGGCUGAUCCAAUCUUAACAGUAAUAUAACUAGUUUUUGUCAGGGAGAGAAUGGGAACCUAAGAAGUUCUUUUUUCUUUUCUUUAUUGUGGUACUAGAGAUUGAACCCAGGGACNNNNNNNNNNNNNNNNNNNNNNNNNNNNNNNNNNNNNNNNNNNNNNNNNNNNNNNNNNNNNNNNNNNNNNNNNNNNNNNNNNNNNNNNNNNNNNNNNNNNNNNNNNNNNNNNNNNNNNNNNNNNNNNNNNNNNNNNNNNNNNNNNNNNNNNNNNNNNNNNNNNNNNNNNNNNNNNNNNNNNNNNNNNNNNNNNNNNNNNNNNNNNNNNNNNNNNNNNNNNNNNNNNNNNNNNNNNNNNNNNNNNNNNNNNNNNNNNNNNNNNNNNNNNNNNNNNNNNNNNNNNNNNNNNNNNNNNNNNNNNNNNNNNNNNNNNNNNNNNNNNNNNNNNNNNNNNNNNNNNNNNNNNNNNNNNNNNNNNNNNNNNNNNNNNNNNNNNNNNNNNNNNNNNNNNNNNNNNNNNNNNNNNNNNNNNNNNNNNNNNNNNNNNNNNNNNNNNNNNNNNNNNNNNNNNNNNNNNNNNNNNNNNNNNNNNNNNNNNNNNNNNNNNNNNNNNNNNNNNNNNNNNNNNNNNNNNNNNNNNNNNNNNNNNNNNNNNNNNNNNNNNNNNNNNNNNNNNNNNNNNNNNNNNNNNNNNNNNNNNNNNNNNNNNNNNNNNNNNNNNNNNNNNNNNNNNNNNNNNNNNNNNNNNNNNNNNNNNNNNNNNNNNNNNNNNNNNNNNNNNNNNNAGACAGCAGCCACAUCCAGGAUCUUGCUGAGUUGCUUAGGGCCUUGCUAAGUUGCUGAGGCUGGCUUUGAACUUGGACUCCUCCUGCCUCAGCCUGGGAUUACAGGCAUGGGCCACCGUGCCCCGCCUGCACGUAAUAUUUUUUGACAAAGUGUGCCAGGAAGAACUGUGAUUGGGAGCAGCUCACAGAAGGGGGAGAUUUAUCUGCUCCAGUCCCUCCUGUCUUCUGGUUCUCACAGGCCAAGGUUCACCCCCAAUGGGAUCUAAUUCUUCUCUAUCCCUGUUUCAAAUGCUCUGGAAAUAGAUGGAUGACUUCCUGUGAAUGAAGUGGGCAAGUGGGGAAAGGCACUUAGGAGAACCCGAGAAGGUGAACAAGGUCCUUGUUCCAAUGCAUUACUUAAUAUCAUCUGGAGGGGAAAAUAGGAGGGACCUCAAUAAAAAACUUUCUGAAUCCCGGGCUCAGUGGUACAUGCCUAUAAUCCCAGCAGUUUGGGAGGCUGAGGCAGGAGGAUUGCUAAUUCAAAGCCAGCCUCAGCAAUGUAACAAGGCCUUAAGCAACUCACUGAGACCCUGUCUCUAAUUAAAAAUUUAAGAAUGGGCUGAGGAUGUGGCUCAGUUGUUGAAAGCCUGUGGGCUCAAUCUCCAUUAAAAAAACAAACAAACAAACAAACAAACAACAAAAAAAAAGAAAACCUGUGGAGAUCUAGGUCUCACCUGCACACCAAAGAGUCUUCUUGUGCUUUAGCUCAAAAGGAUCAUAUUCAAUUUUUUACUUCUAACCUUUAUUUUAAAGGAAAAAAAAAAUACACUUUGGGGCUGGGGUGUGUGGUUCAGUGGUAGAGUGUGUGCUUAGCAUGUGCAAGGCGCUGGGUUCGUUCAAGCUUAAUCAGUUUUCUUGCACAUAAUCCAGGGUGAUUUCACAGCUAAAAGCCUAUUCAUUGGUGUCUAGCAGAAACCCAGGACUUAUCCCAUCAAGUCUUCAGCUGUGAAACUAAGGACAUUAGGGUUCACCCUUCAUAUUUUGAAGCAUUACUCCCUAUCCUCCACGUCUGGAGAGCUGUAUUACAGACAGAGUGUAUGUCCCAUAAAGUAAACUGUUGCAUUUUCUUGACUCAGCUAUUCCUGGUUGCAAAGACAAUGAUUCAUGUAGCCCAUGCCAGUUUCCAAGUGAGAAAGCAAAGAGGGGAAAAUAAUUAGGAAGAUUCAUUCACAAGCCGGGCACAGUGGUGCUCGCCUGUAAUCCCAGUGGCUCAGGAGGCUGAGGCAGGAGGAUCUCGAAUUCAAAGCCAGCCUCAUCCCUGGUAACCCUCCCGCCCCCAAAGAUUCAUCUACAGACCUCUCGCCAUUUUUCCUCCAAGCCUACUUGUAUAAAUCCACUGGGUUCCAAGCAGAGUGUGGUGGCACACCCCUGUAAUCCCUGCACUGAGAGGUGGAGGCAGGAGAAUCAUAAAUUUGAGGUAAGCCUCAGCUAUUUGGGGAGGUCCUGAGCAACUUAGCAAGACGUGUCUCAGAAUUAAAAAAGAAAAAAAAAAAAGCUGGGAAUGUGGCUCAAUGGUUAAGCGCCCCUAGGUUCAAUCUCCAUACCAAUUAAGUAAAUAAAUGAAUAAAUAAAAAAAUAAAACCAGAGUCAGCAACACUGGGAACUGUCCUUUCUAGUUCUAAAUCCUCAAAAAAGAUAGAGGUACAACCAGAGAGAGAGAGAGCCCUUGGAAAAGAAUAGUAGGGGAGAUGAGAUUUCAGAGAUUUGAGUGUGAACAAAUGAACAAGCUAGCCUCUGCUCUUUUCUCUAGCUACUCCCCUUGACUCAGUUUCCCUGCCUCCCUCUCAUCCAGCAAUAUAGAAUGUUCUGGUGUGGAUGUGAGGUGUCCCCAAAAGCUCACAUGUGAGACAACGCGAGAAGGUUCAGAGGAGACAUGACUGGGUUGUGAGAGCCUUAACCCAACCAGUGAAUGGACCCCUGAUGGGAUUAACUGGGUGGUGGCUGGAGGCAGGUGGGUGUGGCUGGAGGAGGGGGCAUUGGGGGUGUGGCUUUGGGGUCUCUAUUUGUCUCUGGAGAGUGGAGUCUCUCUGCUUCCUGAUCACCAUGUGAGCUGCUUCCCUCCACCACACUCUUCCUCCAUGAUGUCCUGCCUCCCCUCCAUCCCCCAGGAAUGGAACCUGCUGUCUGUGGACUGAGACUUCUGAAACCAUGAGCCCCCAAAUGAACUCUUCCUCCUCUACCGUUGUGCUGGUUGGGUCUUUUAGUCACAGCAGGAAAAAAAAAAAGCGGAUGAAACACUGGACCUUACAGUUUCUCAAAUUUACACGUCCCUUGGUAGCACCCUGGAGCUCUUCUUCCCAGAUGGACAGUAUUUCUCAGUUCAAAUGACCUUUGCCACAGAGAACUUCCCCAGGCACCUAACUCCAGGGAGUCCCCAACAAUGCUCUUGGGUUUAUCCUGUUUAAUUGUUUUCUGAGCCCAUUCUACUAUCUGCAAUCACGGCUUUGUUCACCUAUCAGUUCUGUGUGUGUGUGUGUGUGUGUGUGUGUGUGUGUUGCUGGGGACUCAACCCGGGGCCUUGUGCAUGCAAGGCAAGCUCUCUACCAACUGAGCUCUAUCCCCAGCCCCCUUAAAUGUCUUUUCUGUUCUAGAACAUACAUCUCAUAAAGAUAAGAACCUCAUUUGACCUUAUCACUACUCUAGUCCUGGGGACUGGAAGAGGCUGGAAUUUAGUCAAUACAAAGAACACUUGAGGCUAGAGUUGUGGCUCAGAGGUAGAGCACUUGCCUAGCAUGUGUGAAGCACUGGGUUUGAUCUUCAGCACCACAUAAAAAUAAAGUCCAUUGACAACUACAAAAAUCUUUAAAAAAAACAACUACAAAAAUAUUUUAAAAAACAAACAAACAAAACCAAAGCAUACUUGAUGUGUACUCAGGCAGUUUGGGUCCACUUCAGCCCUGGGCACCUGGGCUCAUUUGUCCAUCUUCCCAAGCUUCAUGCUCUCAUCUGCAAAAUGCUGGCAAUAAUACCUACCUCACAGAGGAUUUGUGAAGAUCACUCACACAACACUCCUGAAAAUCAUCUGUAAUCUGUUCCUAACAAUUUCAUUUGGCUUCCAAAAGCAGGUUGAAGAAUAAAUGAAGGAAGGAAGGAGACAGCAUGCUAGGAAGAGAAGGCUUACAAUUUGAGACAGAGCAUGAAAUCUCUACAUAAUUCUAGAAUGUCAGGGCAGCAAAAGGUGUCAAAAUAUAGUGCAGUAGACUAUAGUGACACAGCCACUUUAUAGCAGGUCAACUCACAAUAGCUAAGCUAUGGAGCCAAUCUAGGUGCCCUUCAAUAGAUGAAUGGAUAAAGUAAAUGUGGUAUAUGUACACAAUGGAAUUUAACUGAGCCAUAAAGAAGAAUGAAAUUAUGGCAUUUGCUGGUAAAUGGAUGAAACUGGAAACCAUCAUGCUAAGUCAAAUAAGCCAAUCUCAAAAAACCAAAGGCCAAAUGUUUUCUCUGAUAUGUGGUUGAUGACUUAUAAUGGGAGUGGGGAGGAAGGGACGAAUAGAAGUUCAUUGGAUUGGGGCUGGGGUUGUGGCUCAGUGGUAUGUUUGCAAUGUAUAAGGCACUGGGUUUGAUUCUCAGCAUCACAUAUAAAUAAAUAAAUAAAGGUUCAUCAACAACUAAAUAUAUUUUUUUUAAAAAAGAAGUUCAUUGGAUGAGACAAAGGGGAAUGAAGAGAAGGAAGGGAUGGGAAUGGGAAAGACAGUGGAGUGAGUGGGACAGAACUUUCCCGUGUUCACAUAUGAACACACGACCAGGGAAACCCCACAUCAUGUCCAACCAUAAGAAUGGGAGGUUAGACUCCAUGUAUGUGUGAUAGGUCAGAAUACACUCUACUGUCAUGUGUAACUAAAAACAACAAAUAAAAUAUUUUAAAAAAUGUAUUUGAUAAACAAAAGCAAAAAAUAAAACUUUAAAUAAAAAUAGUGCAGUGACUUUCAGAAGCCCUGGGGUCUCUUGAGGGCCCCUAAACAGUAGUGAAAGAGAACAGUUGGGAAAAAGAGGCUGAAUCCUGGACCGUCUUUCCCUCAUUCAGUGAGAUGAGCGCCACUUUCUUCUUGGACAUUAUUUCGGGAGCUGGCUGUCUAUUGCUCUACCUGUCCCCCUCCUUUCCUCUGAGGCUCUGAUUUUGUGUGUAGUGGCAACGGCUCAACUUCACACCAUAGAGGAUGCUCGGUGUCACUCAGGACCUUCAGCUUCUCGGCCUCCCUGGCAGCUGCGAGUUGAUGUGUCCCCCAGUCUGGCCACGAAACCCCAGAGGUGAACUGCUGCUGCUCAAGUUUUUGGAAAAACUUUGACUUCCUUGUUAGGAAGGGAACCCCGCAUGGCUGGUGCCGUCUCUCUCUUCCUGGAUCCUCUCUUCCACGCUAGCAUCCCAUCUGCCACAAAUCAGGAGCCGUGUGGCCAUGUAGCUGUGAGCCUGAUGGGUGCACCGGUCACAGGGACACAUUGACUAUAGGGACACAUUGGCUCUGACCUCCAUGAGCCUCUGAAGUUGUUGCAGCAACCUCCUGGCUGGAGACUUCUUGCCACGGAAGGAAGAAGCCACUGUUGUCUGAGUCACUUCAGUUGGGGUUUCUGUCACUUGUAUCCCCAAAAGCAGUCCUGACAGUUACAUGCAUGUUGUGCUUCCCGAUAGGAUUGUGGGUGCAGCAGGGAUUCUGAGGCUGGUAAGAAUUUGAAAUAUCAUGAUUUCAUUCCCUCUUCUCAUUUGACAGAUAAGGAAACCAUUCUGCUGCGUAUUGCUAUGUUAUAAACCUAGUGGCUUGGAACAAAAGCUCUUUCUUCUUCCUUUCUUUCUUUGUCCCCCACCUUACCUUUCUUUCUUUCUGAUAUUGGGGAUUCAACCCAGAGGGACGCUCCCACUGAGCUCCAUCAAUAGCCCCUUUAAUUUAUUAUUUUGAGACAGGAUCUGUUCUACUCAGCUUUUACUCUGCUGUGACUAAAAGACUCAACCCAAACAAUUGUAGAGGAGGAAAAGUUGAUUUGGGGGCUCAGGGUUUCAGAGGUCCCAGUCCGUAGACAGCAGGCUCCAUUCCUCAGGGCUCGAGGGGAGGCAGGACAUCAUGGAGGAAGAGUGUGGUGGAGGGAAGCAGCUCACAUGGUGAUCAGGAAGCAGAGAGAGACUCCACUCUCCAGAGACAAAUAGAGACCCCAAAGCCACACCCCCAAUGCCCCCUCCUCCAGCCACACCCACCUGCCUCCAGCCACCACCCAGUUAAUCCCAUCAGGGAUCCAUUCACUGGUUGGGUUAAGGCUCUCACAACCCAGUCAUGUCUCCUCUGGACCUUCUUGCAUGUCUCACACGUGAGCUUUUGAGGGACAUCACAUCUAAACCAUACAAGGGUCUCUAGGUUGCUGAGGCUGGCCUAGAACUUGAUCCCCCACCUCAGCCCGCUGAGUUGCUGGGAGUAUAGGAGAGUGCCACUGUGCCCCACGAAACAGCUUUUUUGUUCUCUCUUCACAGUUGUGACCUGACCCCAGACAGGUUCUGUUCCUCUUGGUGUCUGUGGUGGCUCAUGGGCCACAUUUGCCUCACACCCCGGCAGGAAUGGCUGGAAGGCUGGGCUCACCUGGGUCACUGUCCUCUCUCUCUGUCUCCUCAAGGAGUCUCAGAGCUUCUUGUCUCUGUCCACGUGGCCUCUGCAUUUGGCCUGCACAGCCAGCUGGCCGGACUUUCUACGUGGCUCCUCAGGCUCUUCAAGGCCUCUAAGGCUUAGGCAUAGGGUCUGGCAUAGGGUCACUUUUGCCAUGUCCCAUUAGUUUAAAUGAGUCACAGGACCAUUUGGAUUCAAAGAUAGAGGCUCUCGAAGGUCGUGAAUACAAGCAGGUGUGCUUUACUGGGGGAUGGAGCAUUGACGAUUAGCUGCCACCAAAACUGAGGCCCAGAUUCUGAAAGCUAUUUGCCUCAGCUAAUAGUCAUGAUUAUUUAAAUUAGAAUAUCAAACCAAGUGCAGUGGCACACGCCUGUAAUCCCAGUAGCCUGGGAAGCUGAGGCAGGAGGAUCAUGAGUUCAAAGCCAGCCUCAGCAAAAGCGAGGUGCUAAGCAACUCAGUGAGACCCUGUCUCUAAAUAAAAUACACAAUAGGGCUGGGGAUGGGGCUCAGUGGUUGAGUGCCCCUGGGUUCAAUCCCUGGUACCAAAAUAAAAUAAAUUAGAAUAUCACUGGAGGACUGAGAGCUCCAAAGCAGGAUGGUAGGGGGAUGAGGGGAAAGAGAAAGUAUUUAUCCUUAGCCCAGGUUUUCAGAUCUCUCCACUAUUGAUAUUUGGUGUUGGGUAAAUUGUGUAGAGGGCUUUCUUGUGUAUCAGCUGCUGACUGUAGUUCAGAUGUCGCCCCAAAGGGCCAUGUGUCAAAGGCUUGGUCCCCAGGGCAGUGCUACUGGGAGGUGCUGUGGACUCAGGAGGUGGGGCUCAGUGGGGUCCUUAGGUCAUUGGUACAUGCUCUUGAAGCAGCUUGUGGGACCCCAGUCUCUUCCUGUUUCCCUCCUACUCAUAAGAUAAGCCAUUUAGCAAUUUGCUGUGUGCUCUCCAACAUGGUCAUCCGUCACCCCCAGAUCCAAGCAUCGGGACCACUCCAUCUUGAACUGAAGCCAAAACUCCAAAACGGUGAGCCAAAACCAACCUUUUAUCUUUAAAAGUUAAUUGUCUUGGGUAUUUUACUCAAGUAUCACGAAGCUUAUGCCCUCUAGAUGGAUGGACACAUAGACACAGCAUCCUCUAGAUGCUGUAUCUUCUCCCCUUAAUUUGUGACAAUAAAAAACCUCCAGAUGUUGCUAAAUGUCCCCUUGGGUGAAAACCCACUCUUUAGUUGAGAACCACCAUCCCAGCCUUAGGGGUGUUUAGAAGCCCAGCUGGGCGGAAGGCCUGUCUUCCAGGUAGACCAGUAGAAUUUAUUUAUUUGUACUGGGGAUUGAGCCCAGGGGCACUUAACACGGAGCCACAUCCCCAGCCCUUUUUAUGUUUUGUUAUGAGACAGGGUCUCCCUGAGUUGUUCAGGGCCUCACUAAGUUGCUAAGGCUGGCCUUGAACUUGUGAUCCUGCUGCCUCAGCUGCCUGAGCACCUGGGAUUACAGGUGUGCACCGUUGCACCUGGCAACUAGUAGAAUUGAUAUUCUUAAAUUCUUCCAUUGAGAAAUGAAAAGGACAAGGAGAGUCAAUUUUAUAGUCUGGCCGCAUGUUUUACGUGGAGUCUUUACAUUGGCUCAAGGUGUGUUAAGUUUCUGCUCUAAAUGCCCCAAGUUUAUUUUAUUUUUUUUUUAAAUUUUUUUGACGUUGGUGGACCUUUAUUUUAUUCAUUUAUUUAUAUGUGGUACUGAGAAUUGAACCCAGUGCCUCACACAUACUAGGCAAGUGCUCUACCACUGAGCCACCACCCCAGAGCCCCAAGUUCAUUGUUAAGCUUUUAAGAUGAUGUCCCCCAAGUGAAAUCUGAACAGGUGUCCUGCUUCACGGCCAGUACACAGCACGAACCAACUCCCUCACGCCCUUGCCUUUUCUUUUACUAAGAAUCAUCUUUAGAGAAGUAGGUGGAUUUUAAAGCCCUGAGGUUGGGUGAGAUCAGCUUGAGAAAUAGGCAGGUAAAGAAAGAAGAAAAGGUAGUGGUGUAGGCCAGAAUCCACCCUGAGGCCCUCCAACAGGUAGAGGUGGGGAGGGAGGAAGGGAGGGAGGGACAGACAGAUAGACAGAUGAUAGAUGGACCCAUAGAUACAUAGAUGACAGAUAGAUGGACACAGAGACACACACAUAGAUGUGUGCACAGAUAGAUGGACACAUAGAUAGAUAGAUACACAGAUACAUAGAUACUUAAAUAGAUAAAAUAGACCACCAGGAUCCAGAAAAAUGCUUGUAAACAGAAGACCAGAAAAAUGGCUGAAUAUAGUGGCAUACACCUAUAAUCCUACCUCCUCUGUGGCUGAGGCAGGAGGGUCGCAAGUUCCAGGCCAGCCUGGGCAACGCUUAGUGAGACCCUAUUCCAAAAUAAAAAAUAAAAAGAGCUGGAGAUGUGGCUCAGUGGUAAAGUGCGCCUGGAUUCUAUCCUGGUACUGGAAAAAAAGGAAGGGAGGGAGGGAGGGAGGAAAAAGAAAAGAAAUAAAAAAAAAUGUAUGUAUGUGCACGAAUACACAUAUAUAUAUACACACAAGCCUUUUGUUUUUUUCCUAGUUUGUAGAUACACACAUAUGCAUACACACAUUAAAAUGCAUAUACACACGUAUAUGCACAUACUUAUAUACAUGCGUGCAUAUAUUUAUGUGUGCAUGUGUGUGCAAACUUCAUAUGCACGCAUGCAUAUGUUGUAUGUAUACAGAUGUAUGUACAGAUAUAUCCUACUCAGUUGAAAACCUAUUGAAUCUGUGGAUUAGCAAGAAUAAUUGGAAGUAUCUCUGAUUAUACUUGGACAAACAGAGGAACUGACCUAUCAGUGCCGGGUCCAGUCUUGGGAUUGCCUCCUGUAGAACCUGAGGGGGAAUGCCAUGAGCUCUGGGGAACUGGCCUGCCUAAUACACCCCAGGGUCCACAGUGCCUAGAAAAGGACGUGACACAGGGCAGGUGCUCAUGAUGAGUUUGUUGAAUGAACAGGUGUCUGUACUCAAACAACUCAGGAAGGGCCAGGUGACUUGCGUGAUUAGGUAUAGCUCUGUGUGACUGCAUCGUGGUCAACGCUGCUGGUCCCUGCCUGGAUCCCGUCCAUCUAGAGGGACUCUCAGCCUCCGGCUGCUGUGAGCAGUGGCUUGAUCCAGGUCAGAGAUGAUGAUCUGUGACCAGGGAUUGUCAUAGAAAUAUUAGAGGUGGUGGAUUCUGUUCAGUCUCCAACACUCUAGGGGGGAAAGUGGUACCCAACCACUGGGUACGUUUUGAUAGCAGAGCCGACCCGAACUCCUGGUGGCUAGGACAUGGAAAAGUGACACAAAGAGAACAGGCAAGGAUGAUCCACGGGUUCUGGCCAGAGCAGCUGGGUGGGGGAAGUUGAGGUUUGCUAAGAUUUGGAACAAGUGGGGCAGAGACACAGAAAUGCAUAUUUGAUCAUGUUAAUUCCCAGCGUAUCUGCUAGACGUCCAAGAGGACAAACUGAGUAAAUGGUUUAAUACUUGAAUCUGAGGUUCACAAGAUAGACUGGGGCUACAGAUAAUUUGGGAGUUAUCUGCAUAUGGAUGAUGUUUAAAGCCACAAGACUGAAAAAACAAACAAGAAAUCACCCACAAAUUGAGUGUGUUUAGAGAACAGAACAAUAAGGGUUGAACCCCAGAAACUUUUUUUAAAUAUAUUUUUUAUUUGUUCUAAUUAGUUAUACAUGACAGUAGAAUGCAUUUGGACACAUCAUACACAAAUGGAGUGCAACUUCUCAUUUUUCUAUUGUACAUGAUGUAGAGGUACACAAGUCAUGCAAUCAUAUAUGCACAUAGGGUAAUAAUAUCCAAUUCAUUCUACUAUCCUUCCUACCCUCAUACUCCCUUCCCUCCCUUCACUCCCCUCUGUCCAGUUCAAAAUACCUCUAUUCUCCUCCCCCUUAUUGUGAAUUAGCACCCACAUAUCAGAGAAAACAUUUGGCCUUUGAUCUUUGGGAUUGGCUUAUUUCAGUUAACAUGAGAGUCUCCAUUUCCAUCCAUUUACCAGUAAAUGCCAUAAUUUCAUUCUUCUUUAUGGCUGAGUAAUAGUCCAUUGUUUAUUGAUACCACAUUUUCUUUAUCUAUUCAUCUGUUGAAGGGCACCUAGGUUGGUUCCAUAGCUUAGCUAUUGUGAAUUGAGCUGCUAUAAACAUGGAUGGGGCCAUGUCACUCUAGUAUGCUGAUUUUAAGUCCUUGGGUAUAAACCUAGGAGUGGGAUAACUGGGUCAAAUGGUUGUUCUAUUCCUAGUUUUCUGAGGAAUCUCCAGACUGCUUUCCUUAAUGGUUGCACCAAUUUGCAGUCUCGCCAGCAAUGUAUGAGUCUAUCUUUUUCCCCACAUGCUCGUCAACAUUUAUUAUUGCUUGUAUUCUUGGUGAUUGCCAUUCUGACUUAACCCUAGGAGCUUUGAAGGUAAAGGUCGGUCCCAAAGUUUCUAUAAGAGUCACUUCCUUGUAGUGUAAUAAGAUUCUCAGUCUUUCUCAGAUCUACAAAUUUGGUUUUUUUACUCAUCAUUUGAAUCAAAUUGUUGCUGCUCCAGGUAUCUAUGGCUGCAUAACAAACUUGACCAAAACUCAGUGACUUAAGACACCAUUUAUUUUAAUACAUCUCCUCAUCUUGCAGUGUCCAGUGUGGGCUGGGCUGGCGAUUCUCCUGGUUUUCUUGGGGUAGCUGGAAGACUGUCACUGGUAUUCUGCUGGGGAAUGAAUGAAUACAUUCAUGGAAGACUGAUGUGGAGUGAAUCUUGUGGCCGAUCACGUAGGAGCAGGUGAGAAGGGGUUCCGUUCUCCUGCGCAGGAAGGAGGGUUGGGCCUUCCUGGAGAGAGGCUUUCAGGGCAGCUGCAGAAGUGCAGGGAAAUGACCAGAAGUCUGGAGAAUUGCAGCAUAAAUAAAGAGAGACAGUUUAUAGGGAGCAGAGAAUCCAGAAUCCCGCUGGUGUGCAGGUGUUCCUCGAGAUCACUGCUUUCAUCUCAUUGAAGACUGAGCCUUGACCUUGGGAGCUGAGGACUCCUGUGUCAGAAGCCAUAGCUCUAUGUAUUUCUUUUUUGGGGAGAAUACCCAGAAUUGAACCCAGGGGUGCGUAACCACCAAGCCACAUCCCCAGCCCUCUUUAUAUAUUUUAUUUAGAGACAGGGUCUCACUGAGUUGCUUAGGGCCUCACUAGGUUGCUGAGGCUGGCUUUGAACCUGUGAUCCUCCUGCCUCAGCCUCCUGAGUCUCUGGGAUUACAGGUGUGCACCACCCCACCUGGAUCUACGUACCUCUCAGGGAAUAUGUUCUAGACUUUUCAGGAAGAAAAAGUUGUUUCUUCUUUUGUGUCCUCACAGCAUUUUGAACCCAGGAAAUCCUCAUUAAACUGAUGAAAACGUCAGAUAAAGACACUAAAAUGAGGAGCUCAUUUUAAUGCAUAUUGUAGGCAUGCAUUUGGGGAGAGGGCAGAUUUAGUAGCAAUUUACCUUGAAAGAAAAUAAAAAUAAAAUUACAAAAGAAGUUUUUUUUUUCUUAUUCAAUUAAAUGUUAUUUCUGGUUGUGACUAGAUGCAAGAGACAAAGAACGAAAUAAGUGCUGAUUGUUUCAUUUGUCAUACAGUUUUAUUGAAUAAAAUUUUAUAAAAUGACAAGUCAUCCGUCAUUCAAAUGUCUCUUUGCUAUUUUAUUAAUGAAAGAUUGCUUUUGCAUACUCACACACACACAUACACACACACAAUGCUUUAAAAUUUUUUGGUCUGUAAUUUAUUUAUAGAAACAGCAUAAGUUGGAAGUAUACAGCUCAAUGAAUUUUCCUUCUUUUUUUUUUUUUGGUACUGGGGAUUGAACUCAGGGGCACUUAACCACUGAGCCCCAUCCCCAGCUGUUUUUAUAUUUUAUUUAGAGACAGGGUCUCACUGAGUUGCUUAGGGCCUCGCUAAGUUGCCAAGGCUGGCUUUGAACUUGCCAUCCUCCUGCCUCAGCUGCUGGGAUUUCCAGGCGUGGCCGGUUCUCAUUUUCAUAAACCAUCCCCAGGGACGCAGUUGGUACCUAGCUCUAGAACAGAACAUGACCAGCAGCUAAGUGUUCCCCUUGUCCAAAUGCAAUCAGGACCCAACCCUACCCCUCCACCCAGGUAGCAACUCUCCUGACUUCUAAUAAUAGGGGUGAGUUUUGAUUGUUCUUAAAUUUUAUAUGAAUUGAACUGCAUUUUGUUAGUUGGCUUCUUUUUCUCAUAUCUGUAAGGUUUACCUAUGUUGUUGCUGGUAGUGGUUUUUGUUUGUUGGUUUGUUUUUCUUUCUUUUUAUUUUCUUUUUGGUUGGUGGUGUAGGUCCUUUAAAAAUGCAUCAUUAUUGCUGUGUUCUCCAUUGCAUCAGAGAUACCAAAGUUCAUCUGUUCCACCGUUAUUGGGUAUUUGGGAAGCUUCCAGUUGGAGGUGCUUGGUCAUGCCCAGGAUACUCCAUUCCAAAAUAUGUCACUUGGCAUUUGAGAAAGCUGCAGAAGCAAGAAAGUCUCUGUGCUCUUUGUUGCCUUUGAAGCAGUCCACAGAGUCUAGCCAGCCUUCCCCUGAAGGUCAUAAACCUUCUUCCCCAGAAAUUCCCGGCAUUCCCUUCUAUCCCAACAGAAAGGAAUGAAGAUGAGGAGGUGCCUAAGUCCUCCUGCCCCCCAGUUUUUCACCAUUAAAUCCUACUCUGUUCUUCCCUCACUAUACUUCUGCCUGCCCCCUCCAUAAAAAAUAUAGCUUCUGUAAUCCCAGCAACUCAAGAGGCUGAGGCAGGAGGAUUUCAAGUUUGAGACCAGCCUGGGAAAUUUAGUGAGACUCUGCUUCAAAAUAAAAAUACAAAAAAGGGCUGGGGACUUGGCUCAGUGGUACAGUACCUGGAUUAAUCCCCUUGUGCUACCCCACCACACACACAUUUAUUUAUUAUGUAUUUAUUUUUUCCUGUUUGGAUCUUCAUUUCUGUUACAGUUUGAAGGUGACGUGGCCCCCCAAAGCUCACGUGUGAGACAGUGCAAGAAGGUCCAGAGGAGACUGACUGGGCUGUGAGAGCCUUAACCCAACCAGUGAAUGAACCCCUGAUGGGAUUAACUGGGUGGUGGCUGGAGGCAGGUGGGUGUGGCUGGAGGAGGGGGCAUUGGGGGCGUGGCUUUGGGGUCUCUAUUUGUCUCUGGAGAGUGGAGUCUCUCUCUGCUUCCUGGUCACCAUGUGAGCUGCUUCCCUCCACCACACUCUUCCUCCAUGAUGUCCUGCCUCCCCUCGAGCCCCGAGGAAUGGAGCCUGCUGUCUAUGGACUGGGACCUCUGAAACCCUGAGCCCCCAGAUAAACUUUUCCUCCUCUACAGUUGUUCUGGUCAGAUCUUUAAGUCACAGCUGUGAAAGAGCUGACUGAAACAAUUUCUAAAAGUUCCCAGGUCACAUAAAACUUAAGAAGGAAAAUUCGCAUGUUUUUCUCUUGUUAAUCUGUCUUUUGUUACAGGAGCCUGAGCAUGAACCUAGACUUGACAUGGAAAAGAUAUUACUGUGUCUCUUUGUGCCUGUCAUGAACAUUUUAGGGCAAGAGAUUUGGUGCACUUGUGUAGGCAUUUCUCUUGGGUCACGCUGUGGUUGUUCUUGUCUGGGAAUCUGUGAACUUGGCCCUGAUCAAAAUUGUUGCUUCAGUGAUGUAUCCUUGUUAGAACUCUUAUGUGUGGAUGUCACUCAGUGAGAAAGCACUUGCCUAGCAAGUGUGAGGCCCUGGGUUUGAUCCCCAGUAUAGCAAAAAAAAAAAAAAAAUCAAUGAUUCAGCACAAAAAUUAAAAGUUAUGAUACCCCCAAUUUUGCAGAUAUAGAAGCAAAAUAGCAGGGUGCAAAUGAGGUUAUUAAAACAAUUUUUUUAUCAUAGGAGAAAUAGCAUUGAUGCUUCUGUCUUGAAAACAGAUGCCCUCAAGGAGAUGAAGCUUCCCGUUAAGCUCUCAUUCAUGCUGUGUCUCCAGUACAUGCAAAAAAUGUCCCCCCACACAUCACCCAGCAACUGCAGGCGGAGAAGUGGUCCACUUCUUUAAAAUAGAUGAAAGACUUUGCAGAGCAGCGAGAAGUUGACAUAUCUCACCUGUGGGGGUGCGGGAUUGUCAUCAAGGCCCUGCGUCAUGGUGAAAUUGGCAGUAUUUUUGUUCUUCCUUUUAGGCAGAUAAAUAACAAUGCAUUCAGGAACAGCAAUGGCUUAGAGCUGGUGACAUAUGGUAAUUAGGAGAAUAUUAAAGCUAUAAUUUAUUAGUGCUAGUGUUGUACUCAGCAAUUUACAAACAUUCUCCCAUUUAAUUUAAUCUUCACAGCAGCUUUAUAUGAUAGGGAAGAUUUUGGGCCAGGGAGAAAUUAGGUACUUGGAGCAAAGCUACGUGGUAGCGAUGGAGUCAGCCUCCUUCUGAAUGAUUACUGCCCAGGGCUGGGAGGUCUGAGAGUGUCCAGCUGUGCCAGUGGAAGAUGAGUUCAGUCCAGGUGAGGAGGGCAGAAAGGUCCUAUUGGCAUUGUGUCAGGGUAGUGUUCUCUCCUCCAGUUUUACCAGUCAUAAAGCCACCUCCGGUCCCAGUUCUCACCCUCUGUUAACUGCAUGGGUUGAUAUAGUUUAAUAGUGUUCUUAUAAUCUCCCUGUUUCGAUAUUAUCCCCCGUCGUGUCUGUUUUCAACACAACGGCUAGAGUGAAUAUUUUUUUUAAAAUUUUUUUUGUUGGUUGUUCAAAACAUUACAUAGUUCUUGAUAUAUCAUAUUUCACACUUUGAUUCAAGUGGGUUAUGAACUCCCUUUUUUACCCCGUAUACAGAUUGCAGAAUCAUAUCAGUUACACAUCCAUUGAUUUACAUGUUGCCAUACUAGUGUCUGUUGUAUUCUGCUGCCUUUCCUAUCCUCUACUAUCCCCCCUCCCCUCCCCUCCCCUCCCAUCUUCUCUCUCUACCCCCUCUACUGUCAUUCAUUUCUCCCCCUUGUAUUAUUUUUCCCUNCCCUGUAGCAUGCUCUUUUUAGGUCUUUAGGGAAUAGACCGAGACUAGCUCAGCGGUUCCUUCGACAGAAAACUUACAAUAGAGUGAAUAUUUAAAACCUGAAGCAGCCAGGAGCAGUGGCACUGGCCCGUAAUCCCAGCACCUCGGAGGCUGAGGCUGGAGGAUCAACAGUUCAGAGCCAGCCUCAGCCAUUUAGCAAGGCCCUAAGCAACUCAGUGAGAACCUGUCUCUAAUAAAAUAUUUUUUAAAAAAGGGCUGGGGAUGUGGCUCAGUAGUUGAGCACCCCUGGGUUCAACCCACAGUACGUACUAAAAAAAAAAAAGUACGGCCUAAAGUAGAAAAAAAUAAACAAAAUCUAAAGCAGAAUAUGUCACUUAUCAGGACUGGGGUGUAGCUCAGUGGUAGAGCCCUUACCUAGAAUGUAGGAAGUCCUGGGAUUGAUCCCUAGCACUGCAUAAACAAAUAAAUAAGCAAGCAAAUAAAUAAGAAAUCCUUCCAAGGAUUCCUACCUCACUUGGCAUGAAAACUGAAGUCUUCACAGCCCCCUAUAAGGCCUUGGGCCUGGUGGCCUGAUGCCACCCUCUGACUUCUUCUCUAAUCACCCCCCUCCCGUAGUUCCAGCCAUAGCAGCCUUUCUCAGUGUGAGUCCCCCACCUGGAACAGACGUGGAGACACUGAUUUGAGUGUCAAUCACUUUUUUUGGAAAGUGAAGGGAAUGCCCUUAGGAAAUUGAACGGGAGGUAGGAAAGGGAACUCUCCCAAUACAGGGUGUGUCGCCAAAGCCACGGUGGGCAACAGAUAUUAAUUCCCACUGGAAAGUUCUGGAAGCCAGGUCAUGCAAGAACUUAGCCUGCCUGAGGGGCAGGGGUCUUGGAUCUCUAUCCAGCAACUCCUGUCUGUCCCUGGCCUGUGUCACCUCCUGCCACUGCUAGGAAGCUGUGUGUGGGGACAGGACAGGGGUCAGUGCCAGAGAGAGCCCUCAAGCAAAAUGAGGGCUGAUGCAGGCCAUCUGAUGUUAGCCAGGUGCUGAAAUGGCUAGGCCCGAGGUGUGUGGGCGGGACCUGAGGAAGUCCCUCAGGCCCCUGACGUUGCUGUCCCUCUACCUGGAACACUCCCCACUGAGAUACGCAGACACUGGUCCUUGAGAUAUGUGCACACAUGACUCCUGGGGCGGAGGGAGGGUCUUUCCUGAUCCCUUCUCUAAAUCGUCCCCAACUCCUAACACAUGCGUAUAUCUUACUUAUUGUCUGUCUUCUCCAAGUAAAUAGAGGCACAAGGAGGGCAGAAAUUUUGAUCUGCUGUAAUGGUUGCAUUAUCCUCAAUGCCUAGCACCAUGUCUGGCACAUAAUAGAAGUUCAAUAAAUAUGGAAUAGACAUUUGAAAGGUUCUUGUUUUUUGUGUUUUUCAGUACUGGAAAUUGAACCCUGAACUACAUCCCCAGGCAUUUCCAUUUUUAAUUUUGAGUCAGGGUCUCUCUAAGUUGCCCAGGCUGACAUCAAACUUGUAAUUCCCCUUCCUCAGCCUUGGAGUGGCUGGGAUCACAGGUGUGUGUGUCAUCACACCCGGCAUGAAAGAUCAGAUUUUCAAAAUCUCUGUUUUGGCCUGGUUCGGUCGUGAAUGCCUAUAAUCUCAGCAGCUCGGCAGGAGGCUGAAGCGUGAGGAUCAUGAAUUCAAAGCCAGCCUCUGCAACUUAGCAAGGGCCUAAGCAACUCAGUGAGACCCUGUCCCUAAAUAAAAUACAAAAUAGGGCUGGGGAUGGGGCUCAGUGGUAGAGUGCCCCUGAGUUCAAUCCCCUGUGCCAAUAAAUAAAUAAAUUAAUCUCUCUUUUGUCCCAUUGUUUAUCUAUAGUCACCUAUGGGGAAGAAGAAUAUGAUUAAUUGCCAUCUUCACAGUUUAUAUAUUUUUAUUGUUUUUUUUGGGGGGGAUGGGAGGAUCUUGCUAUGUUGCCCAGGAUCAUCUCUCUUUCUUUCUUAAUCUUAAUUAUUAAUUUUUAGAUGUACAUGACACCCAGGCUCAUCUCUAACUGGUGGGCUCAAGAGAUCUUCCCCCCUAAGCCCUCCGGAUUUGGGACUACACUGCGCACACACCAGCAGGCCUGGCAGAUUGGCAUCUUCCAACUUCAACGCACACUUGUUUAUAUUUGGGGCCUGGUUGUGAGUUCCUUUAAAUGCACCCCUGCCCAUUCCACAAAUAACGAGUAUCUUGUCUCGUGCCAGGCACUGUUCAAAGAACUAAAAAGUGACAGUAUAUCAGCCAGGAAUGACUUUUGGCACAAAGUGACAGAAAUGCUGAAAGCAUGGUUUAAACCAAGUCAGGUUCUCAUUUCCCCAUGUAAUUAGAAGUCUAGACAGAGGCCAACCAGGGCCCCCACAGUGGCUCCACGGGGGCCAUCGGGGACCACGUCUGCCUUUCCCUUCUCCUCGGGGUCUCAAGCUUGCUGCUCCAGCAACCAGCAGCCUCUGCAUUCCAGGCAGAGAGGAGAGAUGGCAAAGGGAAACGUGUGUUCCAGAGGAUUCCUCACCUGGGAAGAGCAUUCCUAGAAAGCUCCUCGCUCAUCUUGUGCAGCAUUUAUUAGUUUGCAUUUUUUUUGUACCAGGGAUUGAGCCCCAUCCCCAGCCCUUUUCAUAUUUUAUUUAGAGACAGGGUCUCACUGAGUUGCUUAGGGCCUCGCUAAGUGGCUGAGGCUGGCCUUGAACUUGUGAUCCUCCUGCCUCAGCCUCCCGAGCUGCUGGGAUUACAGGUGUGUACACUGUGCCCAGCAAGAACCAUGAAAGCUGUCACCAUAGUGCAGAAAAAAAUAAAAAACAAGACAUCAAACACCUCUUCACUUACCUGUACAUGCCACUUGCAAAACACACCAAAUAGCCACCAAUGUUGUGCAGAGAGACUACAUAAGAGGUGGAGUUCAGAGGUGACCCAGGUUCUGUCUCGUACCUAGAAGUCAGGGAAGCAGCUUUCAGAGGUGACCUUGGCGCUGACUUCUAAGUGAUGGUACAGAGGCAGCCUUUCCAAGAUCAACCACAAUUUUACUGAUCUUUUGUUGGUCAUCAUUUAAUCCAGGACAGGAAGGCAGUCUCACCUUGUCUGCCUCGUUCUACACAAUCCAGCCUUCCAGAUAGGGUGUCCAUCAUUCUUAGUUUUCCUGAACAUUCUUUCAGUGCUGUCAUGGGACCAUUUUUUUCCUUCCUCCUCUUUUUCUCUUCUCUUCUCUUUUCUCCCUCAGCAAAAAUAAUAAUAAUAAUAAUAAUCGAAGUUCUCAUUGAAGUUAUUCCUUGACCACAAUGGUCAAAGAUCAUGGGACUCGGGGUGGCGAGGAGGGCUGGUUUGCUGUUAAGCGGGACAGAACACAAUGCCAGGAAGACGCAUCUCGGGGAAAUAAACCAGAUGUGGAAGAUCCAUAAGAGAAUGGGCAAUUUGGGGAAAUCCUGCUUAACCCAUAAGACAGUCUGGCGAAUGUCGAUUUUAUUGAAGGAGAUGCAUCGUGUGAGCUCAAAGAUUUGGAAUCUUGAUGCUUCUCUGCAGCACUGGGAGAAACUCUAUCCCUGUGUUACGGUCUCAUUUCAAUACAGCCUUAGAAAGGGGUUCACAAGCUUCAUGUAUUGUAAGUCAGUUGUUACUGAGAAAUGUGUGUGUGUGUGUGUGUGUGUGUGUGUGUGAGAGAGAGAGAGAGAGAGAGAGAGAGAGAGAGAGAGAGAGACUCUGAGUGUUGAACCAGCCUCAUAUAUGUUAAGCAAGUUUUCUAUUAUUGAACCACACCCCCAGCUCUGAAAUGUGCUUUUUAUUUAUUUAUUUUUAAGACACUGUAGAUUGAACCCAGGGGCAUUUGACCACUGAGCCCCAUCCCCAGCUCUAUUUUGUGUUUUAUUUAGAGACAGGAUCUCCUUGAGUUGCUUAGGGCCUCACUAAGUUGCUGAGGCUGGCUUUGAACUCACGAUCCUCCUGCCUCAGCCUCCCGAGCUGCUGGGAUUACAGACUUGUACCACUGAGCCCAGUUGAAAUGUGAUUUUUUUACAUCUGGAAAUUUUACUGAUCACAAUAGGGAUUAUGAGGGCUGGGGAUGUAGCCUGGUGGUACAGAGCUGGCUUAGCAAGGGAGAGGCCCUGGGUUCAAUUCCCAGUACCCCCCCACACACACACACAAAAUAGAAAAGAAAAAAAGGAUUACAAUGUGACUGUAUUUUUUCUCGAAACUGUCAGCAUAUGGUCUCUUGCUAUCUGUUGUUUUCUCCCAGUAUUUUAUGAGGUAGGUAGUUGUCCUUUAUCCAAGGUGUGCCACACAUAGAAACACCUUUGUGCAAGUAGGGAACUACAAUUUCUAAAAUAUCUAGCUAGAUGAAAAUCAGCAGAUGCGUUCAAGUCCACUUUCAAGAGAAUCGACGGAGGAGGGUGGGGAAAUGUCAGGGAACACUGUGGCUAUCUGCCACCUUACCUUACAUUUACCAGUGACUUUUUAUGCUUCAUAGAGAAAUGGUGAACAUGCUUCCUAUCCCAUUUAAUUUUGGAAUCUGAAUGCGGUCAUACUGUGUUUUCUCCUUUGCUUUAAAGAUUAAGGACUCUUUAUGGGAUGGCUACUGAGGAUUGAACCCAGAGGUGCACUACCACUUAGCCACAUCCCAGCCCUGUUCUUUUUUCUUUCUUUAUCAAAGAUUGAACCCAAGGGCACUUAACCACUGAGCCGCAUCCCUUUUUUUAUGUUUUAUGUAGAGACAGGGUCUCGUGAAAUUGCUUAGGGCCUUGCUAAAUUGCUGGCUCCUGCUGCAGCCUCCCAAGCCACUGAGAUUAUAGGUGUUGCACCACCAUGCCUGGCUUCAUUUUUUAUCUUGAGACAGGGUCUUGCUAAGUUGCUGAGGCUGGCCUCAAACUUGAGAUCCUCCUGCCUCAGCCUCCUGAGUUGCUGGGAUUACAGGUGUGCACCUGGGUAAGAAUAAGUACUUUUUCGUCCCCAAUUUCACCAAGAUGGUGAGGUGAUUCAGUACUUUUGUAAACUGCUACACCCAGAUGACUUAUUAGCGUUAUGUACCGUUUUUCAUUAUUUAUCUGGAUAUAUUAGUGCUGUGUAAAUGCAGCCUAAGUGGAAAGGGUUUUCGGCCAUGCUGGGAGUGGAGCCCAGAGCCUUCCUCACACCUGCUAGGCAAGUGCUCUACCACUGAGUUACACCCCACCUACCAACAGCUUUUCUUUUUAGUUGUAAGAAAUCUGUAUGAUAACUGGGCAUGGUGAUGUUUGCCUGUAGCCUCAGCUUCUUAGGAGGCUGAGGCAGGAGGAUCACCUCAGCCCAGGAGUUUGAGACCAGCCUGGGCAAUGUAGUGGAAACCUGUCUCAAAAACACAAACAAAAAACCUGUUUUCUGAGCUGGGUUUUGGCUCAGUGGUACAGUGCUUUCUAGGCACAUGUGAAGCACUGGGUUCAAUCCUUAGCACCACAUAAAAAUAGAUAAAUAAAAUAAAGGCACUGUGUCAAAAUAAAAUAUAAGGCACUGUGUCAAUCUACAACAAAUAUUUAAAAAACAAAAUUGUUUUCUGCCAGGCACUGUGGAGCACGCCUGUAAUCCCAGCAGCUGGGGAGGCUGAGGCAGGAGGAUCAGAAGUUCAAAGCCAGCCUCAGCAAAAGUGAGGGCCAAACAACUCAGCGAGACCCUGUCUCUAAAUAAAAUACAGAAUAGGGCUGGGGAUGGGGCUCAGUGAUUGAGGGCCCCUGAGUUCAACACCUGGUUCAAAAAAAAAAAAAACCUGUUUUGUUUUGGGGUGUGUGUGGGGUUACUGGACAUCAAUCUCAGGGCCUCACAUAUGUGAGGCACAUGCUCCAUUACUGAGCUAUGUCUCCAACUCUUUUUAAAACUUUGAGACAGGAUCUUGCUAAGCUGGCCUUGACUUGGGAUCCUUCUGCCUCAGCCUCCCCAUAGCUAGAAUUGAGGGGUGGGAUCACACUAGGAAAAUCUAUGUUAUAAUAGAGUCAAACAUGGCAAUAUCUUUAGGAAGCAUGACUCUUUCCUUUCCCCUCCCCUUUGAUAAUGAUUUUCUCUGUUUAAAGAAUCCCUCCUCUUUAUCCUAUUGAUCAUAAACCCCCAUAUUCUUAAUUUUUGAAUUCCAUGCCUUGUUCAUGCCCUAAAUCUACUUAUGGAAUAAACUUUGAAGAAAAAAAGAUUUUGAUAGCCAGAAACGUUUUAAAAAUGCUACCUGAGUGGUUUAAAUAUUCUAUUGUAUUAACAUGAAGGAAUUUAUUUGCAAUGAUUAGCAACCAUAUUCUUAAAAUAUCUAAUGAGAAAAUGGUGUUAUCAUGUUGAGUUAAGAUAAGGAGGCCAGGGAGAGCGGUCACUGGAGCAUUUCAGUUUUGUAAGAUGCAUUUGGAAAACUGGAACAUGAUAUAUCCCAGUAUGAUGUACUGCAUGGUGGAAAUGUAAUUUUUACUUUCUUAUUUUGUAUUUUCCUUCAUGGUUAUUUUUACACGGAUUGCUUUUACAUGGAUCUUUUUUUGUUACAAUGAAUACAUAAAGACAAUUUUUUUGGGGGGGAGGGCACCUGGGGAUUGAACCCAGGGGCAUUCAACCACUCAGCCCCGCCCCCUUUCUUUUUCCUUUUUGUAUUUAAUUUAGAGUCUGGCUGCGCUUGUUCUAUAUGAUGGGAACGAAGACCUUCAGAGCAUGAGAACAGGGAAGAGACCAUACAUUGCUCAACGAGAACUCCAGCCUAGCACCGAGGCACAUGCCUGUCAUCCCAGCGACCCCUGCGGCUGAGGCAGGAGGAUCGCAAGUUCAAGAUCAUCCUGCGCAAUUUAGUGUCUCAAAAUAAGAAAUAAAAAUAAAAAGGUCUGGAGAUGUAGUUCUGUGUUAGAGCAAUUGCCAAGCAGGUGUAAGGCCCUUGGUUCCAUCCCCAAUACUGCAAAAAAUAAAUAGAUAAAGGAAAGAAAGAAAGAAAACAAUAUUAUAAUCUAGAGUUGGGUGCAGUGAUGCACACCUGUAAUCCCAACAGCUCAGGAGGCUGAGGCAGGAGGAUCUGAGUUCAAAGCCAGCCUCAGCAACUUAGCAAGGUCCUAAGCAACUCAUGGAGACCCUGUCUCUAAAUCAAGAAUAAAAAGGGCUGGGGAUGUGGCUCAGUGGUUAAGUGCCCCAGGGUUCAAUCCCUGGUAUCCAAAUACACACACACACACACACACACACACACCACACACGCACACACCACACAUGCACACACCACACAUGCACACACCACACACGCACACACAAACACACACACACUCCAAUGAUCAUAGCAUUGGAAGGAAAGAAGAGCUAGAACGUUAAAAAUAUUACCAUUUAUGCUGAUAUUGCAGCCUUCCCUAUUUAAAGGUCUACUUAGUGGACUUCCUUCUAAUUGGAAAACAAAACAGGGAUUCCUAGCUAGGCCCUUCUCUUUAUCUCUUUCUGUUGAAACACAGAUAUCCUGUUGUGAUAACCUUUGACACUUCAUUACAUCGCCACAGUAAAUAACAACUGCCCCUAUUUUGUCAUGCUACCCCUGGUUAAACAGUGCCAUUCAUCACUGAACAUAAAAGUUGACAUUUUUGUGAAUAGAAGGAAAUGUCAUUUGAAUUCCUUUGCUGUGUUCCCUAAAUUUAUUCAAGGGUUCUGAAUGGUUUAAAUGGCUAAGAAAACUAUGGGGUGGUUGGUUUGUCAGAGAGAACUGCCCCCCACCAAAAAGAGGAUCCAGCCCGUCUGGGGCCAGCGGCAAAAUGUUAAGACUUACAGAACUUCACAGGAAACAUGAACCCGAGUCACCAGGACAGCCACAAGGCCAAAAUAGAUCACAUAGGAAAUAGUUGUUUGCAAUUAUUAAUUAUUCUCAUUGAAAUAUCACCAAUUUAGUUAUUCUGUAGUAGAUAUCUAACUAAUGUGAAAGAUAUCCGCAAGUUUUCUUAUUGCUUAGAAUUGCUUAAGUAGUUUUUGGUUUACUAUUAAAAAAGGACACUUGAGGCUGGGGCUGGGGCUCAGUGGUAGCGCACUUACCUGGCAUGUGUAAGGUACUGGGUUCGAUUCUCAGCACCACAUGUAAACAAAUAAAU